ACUAGUAGGGGAACCGAUUUCCUUUUUGUGAUUCCUCCUGUAAUAUGUUUUCCAGGGGACUUGGUUUGUGGGUAGGACUAUGGAAUGAGGAUUGAUGUUAGACAUGACACUAGGAGUGGGUUCGAUGAAUUCAAAGGUGUUGUUAGACUCUUCACUCACACUCUCCCCCUGAAGAUGGCUAACGGGAAAGUAGGGUCGAUCCUCAUAGAAAGUAACAUCCAUAGUGACAAAGUAUUUUCUGGAUGGCGGGUGAAAACAUUUAUAACCACGCUGGUGAGGGGGAUACCCAACAAACACACAUGCCUGAGCCCGAGGGGUAAAUUUGGUUUGAUUAGGGCCAAAAUUAUGGACAUAAGCGAUACACCCAAACACACGAAGAGGAACCUCAGAAACAUGAUGAGUCGAUGGGUAGGACUUCUUAAGACAAUAUAAGGGAGUUUGAAGAUGAAGAAUACGAGAAGACAUUCUAUUGAUUAAAUGAGUUGCUGUAAGAAUAGCAUCUCCCCACAAGUAUGAAGGAAGGGAAGUAGAAAGCAUAAGGGAACGGGCUACUUCCAGAAGGUGAUGGUUUUUCGCUCGGCCACUCCAUUUUGUUGAGGAGUGUAGGCGCACGAGUUUUGAUGAACAAUCCCCUUAGAAGCAAGAAAUUCACUAAGGUUAUGGUUUUGGAAUUCCCGACCAUUAUCACUCCGAAGAAUAGCAAUUUUUUGAUGGAAUUGUGUUUCAAUGGUGUGAUAGAAAUUUUGAAACAUAGAGGAAACCUCAGAUUUAUCAGUGAUAAGGUAGACCCAGGUAAGACGGGUAUGAUCAUCAAUGAAGGUUAUGAACCACCGUUUUUCAGAUGAGGUUGUUAUCUUGGAUGGUCCCCAGACAUCACUAUGAACAAGAGUGAAGGGUUGGGUUGGUUUGUAUGGUUGUGAGGGAAAAGAGACUCAAUGUUGUUUGGCCUGAAUACACACAUCACAAGAUAAGGUAGUCAUCUCAACUUUAGAGAAGAGAUGUAGAAAUAAAUGUUUCAUAUAUUGAAAAUUAGGGUGGCCUAAACGAAAAUGCCACAACAUACAAUCUUGUUCAGAAGUAGUGAAAUAGGAAGAUAAGAGACUAGUCCUAGGAAUGCUACUAGAAGAGGUAUUGUCAUCAAGGAGGUACAGUCCCCUACUAUGCCGGGCAGUGCCAAUCAUUCUCCCCGAGCUCAAGUCCUGAAAAGAGACAGAAUCAGGUAAGAAUAUUGCUUUGCAGUUUAACUCAUGAGUGAUCUUGCUUAUCGAAAGCAAAUUAUAAGAUAGUUUGGGCACAUGCAAAACAUUAUGUAAGGAGAGCCCUGCACAAGGAGAAAUCUUCCCCUUUCCAGCAAUGGGGGCCAAGGAGCCAUCUGCAAUUCUAAUUGUCUCGUUCCCGACACAAGGAAUGUAAGAUACAAAAUGUUCAGAGGACCCAGUCAAAUGAUCUGUGGCACCAGAAUCCAGAAUCUAGGGGUUCUUCCCAUCAAUACUAACAAGACCGAAGGAGUGAGGUAUACCCGAUUGGACAGUGGCACCUAAAGUGGCAAGACUGAGAUCAGUUUGGUUUUUGUGUGGAUCGGAUUGUUGAGGAGGUUCAGCAGACUCACUCACAUACGCUCGCCCUGUGUUCUGUUUGUCGUUGGAAGGGUGUUUCUUACCUCCAGGGGACGACCAUGUAACUUCCAACAUUGUUCUUUGGUAUGCCAUUGUUUUUUGCAAUGCUCGCAGACAGGAAUUGGUUUUCCAUUAUGCUUGUCACUGAUACUGUUAUAAGAUCUUGCACUAAAAGCAGCAGAGUCAAUAGUAGGGGUUGCGGAAAUAUUCAUAGCACUUGUGCGAUCUUCCUCAAGGCGGAUUUCAGAGCAAACUUCCAUCAGGGAGGGAAUCGGUCUUUGACCUAGUAUACGCCCUCGAACUAUAUCAAACUUAGGAUUAAGACUAGUAAGAAAGUCAUAAAUCCUGUCAUUCUCUUCAAUUCUUGAGUACUGUACACCAUCAGUGGGAUCACGCUAGACUAGUUCUCUGCAUAGGUCCAUUUCUUGCCAUAUAAGAGAGUUUAUUGAAAAAGGAUGUGACAUCCAUGGUUCCUUACUUGCAUUCAUGAACUUGCUUUCUCAGCGUGUAUAGACGAGAGGCAUUCUGACGUUUUGAGUAAAGUGUAUGGGCUGUGUCCCAAAUAUCCUUGGCUGUUGCAGCAAACAAUAACGGCUUGCCAAUUUGAGGUUCCAUACUAUUGAUCAAUAUGGAUCGAAGAAUAGAGUCUUCUGCCUUCCAAUAUCGUUCAUGUGGGUCGCCUGGUAGGGGGCGAGGUAUUUCCCCUGUCAAAAAGAUAAAUUUUUGUCGUCCUUCGAGGACCAUCUUUAUUGACUGAGACCAUGAGAAAUAGUUGUUGCCAUUCAACUUUUCUCCUGAAAGAUGAUACAUGGAAGACUGAGCCACCGUGUUAGUCACAUAAGGAGAGGAUACAUUAGGGAACGAGUUUACCGAAUUCUCAGAAUACAGCGGUAGAGUGGAUGUCGUCCCUAAGGUAGCCUCAAGUGCUGUUAUCUGUUGUCGAAGCCCUUCCAAUGUUGGGGGAUGAACUAUUCCCGAGGAAGCUUGCACGUUACGGUUGGAAUAUGCCGAAGAUUCACCAACCUCAAAUGUUGAGUGAAUUUGAGAGUUUUUAACAUCAGGAUGGUAGCUAGGAUCAUUGGGUGGCUGGCCAUACAGAUUUGACGGCAGAAGCGGUGGAAGCCGAUUGUAAUUAGAUGGCAGAACAUAAAUCGGGGCGUGGGAAGCAAUAUAGGUCGCGGACGAAGAAAAGGGUUGGAUAGAUGGAUGGUCGGCGCGUCUGAGGGAGAAAACCAGGCGCGUGUGGUCCGGUGGCAGCGCGGACGACUGCGGUAAUGACGAAAAAUUAUUUUCGGACGUUUUCUGUAGCCGGCUUAAUAAUUCGUCCAUGGCAGCACUCAUCCGAGCAUCGACGGCAGCAGCUACGGCAGCACUAAAAUUGAUGGCUGUCCCUUCUGUUUGAUUUUCAUCAGUGGUUUGGUUUUUUUGGGUUUCUAGGGUGUUUUCAUUGUCCCGCUCUAAUACCAUAUUGAAAAGAGAGACAACGAGUUCACACCAGUUUACGUGGAAACCCGAGUACGGGAGAAAAACCACGAUUGUUUGUUGUUAUUAUUUUCUAAUGAAUAAAACAAUAGGUACAAGGAGAAUAAAUAGAGUACACAAUGGAAUAAAAAAGGAAAAGAUUUAGGAAAAUAAGGAAUACAUUCCCAUAAUCUUUCCAUAAUUAUUCUAGGAUUCUAACAAGGAAAAAGCCUAGAAAAAAGGAAAGAAUUCCAACAGAAAAUGAUAAACGACAUGUCAGGAUUUUCGAGUUGCCCUCGAUGACGUUAGAAAUCGUUGAUGUAAGCACGAGGUGAACCUUACAAUGCGAGCGAUGGCAAACCAAGCUCAAGUUGGAGGAGUAAUCCCGAUGAGCAGAAUAAAGAUUCCUGAACCCUUCAUCUUUGAUUUUGAGCAAUACUUCAAGGUCACAAGCACAACCACAAAAGAAGCCAAAAUGGCAUUGGCGACUAUGCAGUCUUAGGAUGCCAAGUUAUGGUAGAGAUCCCAAUAUAUCGACAUUCAAGAAGAGUGUUACACAAUAGACACCUGGCACACUUUAAAGAAAGAACUCGGCUCACAGUUCUUUCCCAAGACUGUCGAAAUCUUAGCUUGGCGGAAAUUGGAUGAACUAAAACACAACGACAACAUUCGAGAGUAUGUGAAGCAAUUUGUUUGUUCUGUUUGGGAGUCUUUCCCUUUCCCUUCUUUUUAAUUUGAGCAUUAGGUUUUGAGGUCCAACUUUGGUUUUAGAGGAUGAUCCUCUUGUAAAUUUUCUUUUUGUGGUAGCAACAUUUGCUUCUACUUGUUUCCCUUUACCCAUAGUAAGGUUUUGGAAUCGCUGGAGUUCAUUCAGAAGGGUUGUCAGGUUAAAUUCUAUCUUGUUCAAAGACGCAUUCGUUUGGAAUGGAAUGAAGCUCUUCGGAAGAGACUCUAAGAUAAAGCUAACUUGAUUAACCUCUUCGAUGGACCACCAUUCACUUCAGCGAUGUUGAAGUGCAUCAUCAUGUCCAGAACAUGUUCUCUAACAGAGGUCCCUUCCUUCAUACGCUUAGUGUAAAUGUAUUUGACUGCCUCGUGUCUUAAGGACCAUUCUGGUUGCCCAAACAUUCCCCCUAAUGAAUCCAUAAUCUCUUUAGCCGUGGCUAAGGAUUCAUGUUUCUUUGCCAAUACAUCAGACAUGCUGGCAAGAAUGUAGACAUGGAAGGCGCCAGAAGGCGCAGUGAGCCACACAAAAGGGACCGAAACGAAUGUUCGAAAAUAUCAGAAGGAUCGAAGAAAGAUGGAAGGAAAGACGAGGAAAACAACAUACCAGAGCAAGUUCAAGACGGUAGAGAUGUCGGUCUUCAAUGGAAUAGACCUUGAUUCAUGGUUAUUUCGCGUUGAUCGUUAUUUCAAGAUACACGAGUUAACUGACUCAGAGAAGUUAAUGGUAGCGGUAAUCAGUUAUUAGGACCAGCUCUCGAUUGGUAUAGAUCAAAUGAUGAGUUGGGACGGUUCAAGAGUUGGGAUAUUUGAAGCAAAGGUUGUUGUCCGAUUUCAGACGAUUUGGGAUGGAACACUCCUAGGCCGAUUCUUAACGAUUAAGCAGGAAACGACAGUAGGGGAAUAUAGAAACCACUUUGAUAAAUAUUUAGCUCCGGUAGCCUUCCUCCAGACCAUAGUGUUAGAAGAAACCUUUAUGAAUGGGCUAAGCCCAUGGCAUAAAUCCGAAGUUAAAAUGUUGGAGCCCAUAGGUUUGGCCGAGAUGAUGAAACUAGCCCUGAAAAUUGAAAAUAGAGAGAUGGUUCAUCGAGAAUGUGGGCUUAUUAGUGUUUCUAGAAUGAAUAAACAAUUCAAACAUAAUAACGUGACGCAAACCUCGACAGUAACACCCAAUCAGAAACCCACGGAAAGGAGCUGGCCGAUGAGAACGAUUACGUUAAAAAAAGUGACGGCAGAUGAAAAGAGGAGGGAAGGUCCGACCAAGCGUCUUUCCAACGCUGAAUUUCAAGCACUGAGGGAAAAGGGUCUAUGCUUUCAGUGUGAGGAGAAGUAUCACGCUGGACACAGGUGUACGGUGAAGGAACAAAAGGAAUUACGGAUAUUAGUAGUAAAGGAAACGAGAGAAAACUGGAAAUCAUUGAGGAGGAAUACUUUGAUGUGGAAACGGAGGCCCAGACCAUUGAAAUUGAAAGAGUGGAGAAUAUGAUAUAGAACUUCCAUUAACUCAGUUGUGGGGUUAUCCAACCCUGGAACCAUGAAAGUGAAAGGGAAGAUAAAAGAGACCAAAGUGGUAAUACUCAUCGACAGCGGAGCCACCGACAAUUUUAUUGCAGAAAAUUUGUAACCACCCUUAGCCUACCAAUGACAGAAACGUCCAACUAUGAGAGUGAUUUUGGGAUCAAGGGUUGCGGUCAAAGGAAAAGGAAUCUGCAAUAAUGUUGAAGUGACGGUAGGAGAGUGGAAAAUUACAAACAGCUUUUUUCCCUUGGAAUUAGGAGGGUUGAUGUAAUUUUGGGUAUGCAUGGUUGCACUCAUUGGGCAUGACUGAAUUUGAUUGAAAAAUUUGGUGAUGACAUUCCGACAUGGAGGAAGGAAGAUAGAGAUAAAGGGGGACCCUAGUGUCACCAAAACCCAAGUGAGCCUAAAGUCUAUAAUUAAGACAUGGGGAGCUGAUAAUCACGGUUAUUUGGUAGAAUGUCGGGCCAUGGAGGGAAGGCUAGCUGAGGAAGGCUUAGAGGAUGAAGAAGUGCCAGCCACUGUUGACAACAUGAUCUCUCCUCUGUUGAGCAAAUUUAAUGAUGUUUUUGAUUGGUUGGAAGAGCUGCCUUCGAAGAGGAACAUUGAGCACCAUAUACCCCUUCAGAAGGGGGUGGAUCCAGUUAAUGUCAGACCUUAUCGUUACGCACAUCGGCAAAAGGAGGAAAUUGAAAGACUAGUUGAUGAAAUGUUGAAGACAGGCAUCAUAUGACCGGGUACCAGUCUGUAUUCCAGCCCAGUCCUUCUCGUGAAAAAGAAAGAGCUGGCAAUUUUGUGUAGAUUAUCGGGAGUUGAACAAUGUCACUAUCCCAGAUAAGUUCCCAAUUCCGGUCAUAGAUGAGUUAUUCAAUGAGCUGAAUGGGGCCAACAUGUUUUCGAAGAUUUAUUUAAAGGCGGGUUAUCACCAAAUCAGGAUGCAUCUGAGAGGUGUAGAGAAGACGGCCUUUCGAACACAUGAGGGACACUAUGAGUUCUUGGUCAUGCCGUUUGGGCUAACCAAUGCCCCUCUACGUUCCAAGCAUUAAUGAACCACUUCUUUAAGCCUUAUAUGAGAAGAUUGGUAUUAGUGUUUUUCGAUGACAUUUUGGUGUACAGUAGGGGAGUAGAAGAACAUGGACAACAUCUGGAAGUAGUCUUGGAGAUCCUUCGGAGAAUGAAUUGUAUGUGAAUUUAGCCAAAUGUUGCUUUGCCAAAAGUAGAAUAGGUUAUUUGCGGCAUUUCAUAUCCAAAAAGGUAACUAAAGUUGAUCCGGAAAAAAUAAGGGCAAUUAGGGAAUGGCCGAUUCCCAUUAGUGUGUGAGAAGUUCGAGGUUUCUUAGGACUCAAUUGAUACUAUAGGAAGUUUGUGCAAAAUUAUGGCAGUAUCGAAAGCCCUUUGACACAACUUUUGAAGAUAGGAACUUAUUAUUGGACUGAAGAAGCAAGUGCUGCCUUUGAGAAGUUGAAGAUGGCAAUGAUGACUCUACCGGUGUUAGCUAUGCUGGACUUUAAUCUACCACUCGAGAUAGAAACAUAUGCAUCUGGUUCUGGUGUGGGGGCCAUUUUAGUACAAGCCAAGAGACAAAUAGCCUUCUUUAGCAAAACCUUAUGCAUGAGGGAUAGAGCGCGACCGGUUUAUGAAAGAUAAUUGAUAGUAGUAGUGUUUGCGGUGCAAAGGUGGAGACCAUAUUUGUUAGGGAAGAAAUUUACAGUGAAAACUGAUCAGAAGUCGCUCAAAUUCUACUGGAACAAAUGGUGAUUCAACCCUAAUACCAGAAAUUAGAGGUUAGUUGAUUGAGAAAAGUGCAUGUGGGGAAGUCUUGACGCGAGGAAGGCUAGGCGUUGAAAGGUUAUGCGAGAAGACCAAGGAGGUUAGCUAUGCGUUUGGAUAGUAAAUGACAUGCUCUAAGCAAUUAAUUAAAAGUAAAUCUAGGUGUCUUAACCAUGUCAUCCUGCAUUUUGCAGCCAAGGAGGAUGUGAAGGAGUUGCUAAGGUGUAAACAAAAGCUUAAGAUGUGAGUCUAAUCAAGAUUAAGUGUCAACUUAAUUUCAUGCAAGGAACUCUAUAAAUAGGUCAACUUCAAGAAUGAAUUUCUCACAACUUACUUGUUCAAAAUUACUCAAAUUAGUCUUAAAAUUCCAGAAAUUGAAUUUAGUUUAUGAUAGAGGGUUGCUAUUAAAUUUGGAUUCAAGAAGAUUUGCGAUUGGAUCAAGAUAAGGUGAGAAGGUCAUUUUCUAGGAGAAUCUAAGCAAGUUGCAAUUUUAGAGGGCUAUGGAACUCAUUUCUUGGGAUUUUCCUUCAAAACUUUGAGGUAUGAAAAUUAAGUCAAUUUGGAGUAACUUUGUAGAAUGAAGUUUUAUAAAAAAAAAUUAUGAAUUUUAAGUUAUAAUUUUUCAAAGUUAUGUCAUUAUUCUUGAAGUAAAACAGUGUUCUGGAUAGUGUCUGAGAGGCUUGCAUGUGUAGGUGAGAUAGGCAUGUGUUUUGGUUUAGAAGUUAUUGUGGUCCAAUUGCACACACAUGAAAAGGCCAUGGCACAGUCGAGUGGCAAGGCAUGUGCUCAGGCUACACGCAUGACCCUUUUUUAGAGGUUAGCGUGGUAUGCACGGGGUGCGGAGAGCACCAAUGCUUGCAAAGCACAAGAUGGACGCACGAGAUAGGCGAAUAGCACAUGUGUGGCAACCCCAUUGCAAGGUUAGCACACGAUAUACACCCCAUCUUAGUAAGGUCAGCACACGACAGGUCCCGGGCCAUGCACGUGUGGCUAGAUCCAUUCACCAUGUCAGUGGAUACCGUUGGGUUAUUUUCGAACUAUUUUGGGUUACUUUGAUAUUUUUGGGAAUUUUAAAGGAACUUUUGGAUAUUCUCAUGUUUAAUAAAUUAAUUAAAGAUAAAAUAUGAAGUUUUCAGAACAAGGAGGAUUAGGAUAAAUUUUUGGCCAAUGAUCUGUACAAGUAUUGUGAGUAACACAUUGAUUUUCAAGGUGAUUUAUUGAACAUGUUUUCAAGCUUUACACAAAAUAACUUGUGAAAUGAUUUAGUAAACAUGUUUUUAAGUUAUUACUUCAAGAUAAAUGUUUAUGAACAUAUGCUCAAGUUCAAGUGAAUGCUUUCAUGUUUUCAAAUGCUUUUAUCCAUGCCCGAAUAUUUCAUGAGACAUAUUGUAUACAAGUGGUUAACUCCAUACUGAUGAUAGGGUUGAGAAGCCUAUAGUUUAUGGGUCAUUAGAAAUAGUGUAUUGUUAUGCCUUAAAGGAGGAGAGUUAUUUACCCAUUGACUGUUCCGUCUUCGAAUGAAGGGGUAAAUACUACCAGUGGCUAUGGACAAUUGUCUUCGAAAAGCUAUGCAAAUAUUUCAAGUUUCAUGUUAUGGUUGUUUAUUAAUAAAUGUAUUAAAGUUUCGGUUUUAUACUAAAAUGUUUAUGAAAAUAUGUUUUAUAAAACUGUUGCUCACUAAGUUUUUCGACUUACCCUUUCAAAAUGUUUUUCCUCUUUCUAGAUAUAGGUUAUGGAUCUCGAUAUGCUAAACUUAUUGCUGCCAGGCCAACUUAGUUUUUGUUAUGCAAGGACAUUGUUUUCAUUUAAAGAAGUAUUGUGAUUAUUCAAAUAUUUAUAUCUUUAUGUUUUGUUCAUUUUUUAUGAUACGUUUAAAAGAUUUCUUAUGGGUUGCAUUACAAAUUUCGAAGUAUGAUUCAACUGUUUAUUUUAAUGAAAAACUUUUGUUGUUUAAAAAGUUUUGCAAGUGUUCAUGUCAUGUGUCAGUUGAGGUUGUUUCGAACAACUUCGACUGACAUCACGCCUCGUCUUGAUCGACCUAACAGGUGCCCAAGACGGGGUGUGGGAGUAGAUUAUAUCAUCAAUAAUUGUUUAGUUGAAACAAGAUGUGUUAUUUUUCAACUUUGGAUCACAUGCCUAAGAGUUGAUAAUUUCUUUGAGUGGUUAGAACAAUGUAGUUGUUGUAAUAUGUUUGAUGCACGAGAUUUUAAUCUCCAACCUUAAGGAGUUAUUUGGGGGAGAGAAAGGAAAGGAAAAUAAAUGACCAUUUUAGUCAUUUCCACGUUUGGGGGAAGGAAUAAGUUUAAUCCUCUUGUUCCUUCUUAAUCAUUCUCCUUCCUCUCAAUCCCUAUCUUUCUUCCUUCCAAUCCUUCUUUUCCUCCGAUAAAUUAUUUUUCAAUUACAUCAAACUAUUCUCAUUUUCAAAAUUAUAAAUAUCUUUUCCUUAAUAAUUAUAUUUUCAUUUUUCCACAACAAAUAUAUGUAUAUCCACGUAUACAUGUAAUUAUCAAAUUUCUAACAAAAUUUCACUCUUCAAUUUAAUUAAAUAAAGACAAAAAAAUAUUUAAUUAUAUUUAAAUUCAGUGACACUAAAAAUCCAAAUCCAAUAAUUAAUGAAGUAUUCAACUCACAAAUAUUUAAUUAAUUUUAAUUUCACAAAACCAUAAAUUCUAAAUUAAAUAUCACGUGAUUGUCUGUAUGCUUGAACCACAUGACCUGUUUUUGUUUUAUUUCUUUUUUUAAAAAAAUAUAUUUUAUUUUGCAUUAUUCUGAUGUACGAUGUAAUUGACAUUCACUGUUUAACUGUAUUUCGAUUUUUUUUCUUUCGUAUUUCACAUCGUUUCAAUGCUAUUAUGUUCGUCGUCAUUUGUUUAAAUUGAUUGUCAAUGAUACCCAAUUUCUCGUUAUUGCACUUGCAACAUUAAUUUUUUUAAAAAUUAGAUAUAAUUUCUUUCGCACGUAACACAACAAUUAAUUUAUUGGCACAGAAAACUUGCAUACAAAAUGUUCAAAAUUGACAUCAUAUUUACGAAAAUUAAUGGAACAUGUUUUUUGAUAAAAAUUCUAAAUUUUGGUAAAUUAAAAAUACGAAUAUUUGUGUAUUAGAUUUGCAAUACGAAGUAAAAAAAAAUACAACAAUACAAAUUUAAAAUAAUAAUUUUUUUUUUUUGUCAUAACCCUUCUCACUUUUUCCUUCACAAACAAAGAUUAUCAUAAUCCUCUCACUUAUUAUUUCCUCAAACUGUUGGGGUUUAUGUUCUAAAACUGGUAGAUUGUAAAUAUAAUUCAUUGACCGUUAUUAAUAAAGUGUUGUUGAUUAUAUUAUUAGUUUUGUCUUAAUAACCAAAUCCAAUAAACUAACACUCUAAGUUAUUUGAUAAGUCUUGAAUAGUAUGUAAAGACAUACAAUGAUCGAUAUUCGAGAUCAACUUAAAGGGUCUAUAGUAUAGAGAUAAGGUUGGGUACCUUAUCCUAGUAACACUAUGAAUAACACUUUAAAUUUGAUACAAACACAAUGAUCCAAAGCGUUCGUGUAGGUGACAUUCAAGUGAGGGUAUCCUAUGCAAUGAGUUUGCAUAAGACCGAACGAAAUAAUAACCACUAAAUGUAACUUCGUUAACUAGUUAGGUUUAUAUUUCAUUAGGAUGACCUAUGUAACUUAUUCUUAAUUUAAGUGUAUUAUGAACUCAUAUUCGCGAGAGAUUGCCCUUUGAUAUGUACGGGUGAGAGUGGCCAGUUUUCGACUCAAUAUGCUUAUCAUUUUGGGAACAAUACCAAGUAGAGAGCUGAAAACAUAAUCAUACAAGAUGAAAUUUACUCCUUCCCGACUUUUGGGUAAGUAGAUGGGUGUUUCCUUAAAUGGUAUCUUCGAGACUUGAACAAAGAGCCCUAUCCUCUCUAUGGCGCGAGAGGGAUUUUUGUUUAUUGGUUGGACCAUAAACAUGUUGUUCAUUAGAAGAACACUAGUAUUUAAGGAUUGGAGGUAAUCUAGGGGUAAAAUAGUAAUUUGAUCAAGCUGGUGUUACGAACACUCGUGAAGGACUAACUUACUAUUAUUCUAUAUACGUGGACACAUAAUAUAUCUAUUAUGAGAAGAGUUUAACUGUGAGUCUUUAGUGGAGUGUACACACAAUUAACGAAUAUUGAUUAAUGUGGUGAAUGAGUUUAGUCAAUUAAUCUCAUAUCGUUGUAGAUUCUGAUUUAUAGAUUCAUUAGGUCUCCUAGCUCAUAAAGGAUAAUGAGAUUUAUUUAUAUUGGUUGUAAUUUGAAAUGUUCAAAUUUACUUUAAGAAUUAUCAUAAUGUAUAGUGAUACAUUAUAAUGUAAAGUUUAUAUUUUAAUCAAACUUUAUUAUAUAAAUUUAAUUUUGGAUAUGAUUCAAAAUUAAUUUACGAGAGAUAAAAUAUUUCAACAUUCAAAUAAAUUUAAUGUGAAUUAGAUUCAUAUUAAAAUUAAUGGUUAUGAGAAAUAUUUAUAUUUGAAUAUGAUUCAAAUAUUAAGUUAAAUAUAAGAUAUUUGAUUUUGCUAUUAAUUAAUUGAAGAGAAUUAAUUAAUAGUUUAGUUUAACUUUAUUUAAUUAAAUUAAUUUAAAACUAUAGGAUAUUGGAGAGAUGUUAAUUAAAUAUAAUUUAAAUGAAAUAUUAACUACAUAUGAUUUAAUUAAUUAUUAACUGAUUAAUUAAUUAAUUAGUUGAUUUGAAAUUUCUAUUAAUUUAAUAUUUUUUAAAUUAAUAAAAUCUCAUUAUUCUCUUCUACUCUCAAGAAAAGAAAAGAGAGUUAUAAAUAUGCAGAAGAAAAAUAAUUUUUCUAAAUUAAAAAAAAAAGUCAAUGCUUUUGCUCUUUGGAAAAAUAGUUUUCUCUUAAAACUUUUUCCAUCUCAAUCUCACACACCGAUCUCAUAUAUCUUAGAGCAUAGGAAGUUAUUCGAUGAGUGGUGUCCCCAAAUUUGGAGAUUUAGUAUAUUUAGGGACGUCAAACUACGCAAGUUUUUCUCUUUCUAAUCUAUACUUUAUUAAUGCUUAAUAAGAAAAUUAAUUUUUUAAUUAUUUUUUGCCAAUGUAUUGGUAUUUUGGAAUUCCCAAAUUAAAUUGAGGAAUGAUUCUGUAAAAUCUUCCACUGCCUAGGGCUUUUAUCCAUUGACAAACAAGGAUUAUCAUAAUCCUUUCCUUUUCAUAAUCCUCAUUUUUUCAUAAUCAUUUUCCCUUUUGUCACACCCUAAUCCGCAAAACUACCAAAACGCAGAAAGUAGUGCAGAUAGUACGUGAUUUAGCUUAAAACCUUGAAACUGAUCUUAUCUCCUAAUUCAAACUCAACUCCUUUAUAAACUACCAUGCGGCAGAGAUAAACAUAACGCACAUCGGAAGUUAACUUAAACUUUUAUUCAACAACAAGUGUUUUGACGUGAUUAAACGUUAAGACACUUAUCUUAAAUCCUUUACCUUGUUUAAACGCCAAAUAUUUUAAAUAACAUUCUUUAGGCAUUAAAGCUUAACGUAGUCAUCAUUAAUAAAUAAACUUAAACUUAAUUAACAACAGGCGUUUCUUACAUAGUAUACAAUUACAACACUUUGACCAAAAAAUGACAUUAAUCAAAUGCUUAAAUGCCUGGUAGCUUUCUCAAGUCGCUACAAGUCCUUCAACCUUCUUCUCUACUUGGCCUAAACGUCUGAUCUUGGAAGAUGGAAUUUUAAAACGUAAGUCUAAAAGAAUUAGUGAGGUUUUAUGAAAUCCUUUUCGCAAUACCUUUCCAUAAAUCAUUUUCACCAUAUCAUAUAGUUUAACACAAAUCACUUUAUUAAUAAACACAUCAUUUCGCAAAACAUUACAAUAAAAUCAGACCAACUUGCAAAUCACAUCAAUAUACAUUUUGCAUAAACACUAAUUAGUCACAAUCAUUCCUUUGGUCAAGGAUCCCAAAUCAUUAUCUACGUUUGGUCUCGUUACCUUGCGUUUAGACUACUAUAUCAACAACAUCCGAGAACUUACAGAUUUGUCAUUGUUGCUCAGGCUAUCUAACACAAUGUAGUCCUUUUGUACAUUGGUCGACUUUACUCCUCCAUGCAUGCCUUUUCUACAAGGUUGCCUAUAACCUUGUGUGUAUAUAAUAGUUAGCUCAUUCAAAGGAAACAACUAAUGAUUUGAAAACCAUUUUAUAAUCAAUAUCAUAGUCAUCAAAUCAAGCUUUAAAUAUUAUGAAACAUGUUUGAAAUGAUAUAAAUACUUUUAAGAGAAGAUCAUUCACUAUACUUAGCCUUAGAAUUGGAAAUCUCCUAUUCUUCUUCUUUCUCGCGGAAACAAAAUGACAGCACUUCACACUUCAAAAUUUCCAAAAAAUCUCCGAUACUUAGUGACCAAAAUCCUUUAUUUAUACUACUCUUUAACCUGGAUUAGUUAUCCUCAAAUCCUCGUCCAAUUUCCAACUCCUACUUAAAACUUUACAUGUGUAAAAUUAUAUUUAUCUUAUCCAUGCUUAAAUCCUUAAUCUUACAUGUUAACCUCGGUCAAAUCAGAUUUGAAAUCUUCUCACCGAACCUUUCUUCUCACUUAAUUUCAUUUCGAAUAACUUUAACAGCUCAACAUAACUUUCAAAGGUCUUAAUCCAAUAACUCCUUUUGUGACUAUCCAACAUUUUCUCGCGAAUAUUUUUUCUCUUGUGAAUGUUUACAGAAAGACCGUACGGGGUUGGUUUAUGGAAAUUUUGAAGGUGAAGAAACCCUAUCUUGCGAGAUACCCAUCUUGCCGAUCCACCACCAUUCUCUUCUUCUAGUUCUAAUGGCGCUGGAAUCAGGGGCAACAGACCCCUCGAAAACCCAAGUCCUCCUAAGAAAAUGCUCCAACGUCAUAUCCCAACUCCCUUCAUGGUUCCCGAUUUUGAACCCUCGUCGGCUAAGUUGAAGAGCCCGCUUCCACCUAAGCCUCCCUCUUCUAACCCGCUUAAGAGGAAGCUCAAUAUGGAGACCUUUCUUGAGAAUUCCAUCCUUGGGUUGUCAUAUUCUGGUGCGAAGGUACUUACAUGGUGUGAUUGUGGGGGGUUUGAUUUAUUUUUGUCUUAAUUAUGGUGUUUGGAACUGUUUUACCUCACAGUUGCUGUUUCUCCAUUCUGCAUAGCAUUUGCUGUUGUUUGGUCAAGACGUACUUGUAAGAAAAUGGUGUGAGCCAGAAUCUAUUUUCAAUUACAUGAAAAUUUUGAAGUUUAGAAUAUUACUGCUUAAUGUAAGAAGCUAACUUCUUGUUUUAAUGUUUUGUAAACAAGGGAAUUGCAUUGAUAAUUACAGUUCGUCCAAUAGUUCACAUACCGAAUCUUAAGUUAGAAUUUUUAAAUCUUGGUUCUAUGUUUAUGUAUCUGAAACAUGCUGAUCUUAAUUGGUUAAUUUGUAUUAAAAGUCAAAUUGACGUCUCAAAGUUAAUUGGCCUAUGUUUUGUCUUUUGCCCAAAAAAUCAUGAUCUCUACUCACUGAUGUGAUAUAUAAUCCCUUUUCUAUAGCUUGAUAUUAGAAGUUAAAUUACAAAAGUUAAACUAUGAACAUUAUAUCUAUCUAUAUGUAGGUUGAACUAUCACCAAAGUUGGUCACAAUGGGAUAGAUAACUAAAAUGUUUUUAGUUUUGAGACUAAAUACUCACGUUGCUUUAAAUUUAGAGAUGAAAAGCCAUUGUAACUCAUGAAAACAUAAAAUAUAAGCAUUCUCUUAAAUUUCUUAAAGAUAAGUUUCUUUUUCCAAACAUUUUGUGACGAUUUUUUCAAACGUUAUCAGCCCAUCUUCAUACUUCAAAUUGUUAUAAAAAACCUCUUCCUAUAUAACUAAUACUUUGGAGAACCUUACAGGUAUGACUAGUUGACAAAUAAGAGCCUUCAGAUUGGUUACUUCUUAUCAGCAAUGCUUGCUUAUGGAACAGGUAAUGAAGGAAGUAAUGUGUUUCCUUGUGAUGUUCAUAUAUAGUAAAGAUCAAGUAAUGCGUUUACUCAUGCAAUCUUUUCAUCAAUGAUGAUUUAAGUGAAGAAAAAUAACACUCUACAUUUAAUGUUAUUAUAUUGUAGUGUUGAUAGCACACACACAUAUAUAUUCUGUAAUGAUAUAUAUUAGGAAUGUGAUCAAGGAAGCCAGCUUGUCUAGAGAAAGCAAGAGUUGGUGUUGAAGGUUAGAUACUUUCUUUAAAAUUAGUUUUAUAGUUAUUGCGAGUUUUUUUAGGAUUACUCUGUGGCUAAAUCUUCAUUAACUUACUAUGCUGCCAAUGAGAGAUAUUGGAAGUUAGUUCUCUUUCCCAUGUUGCCUUGUUUUUAUUCUAAAUUUCUAAUAGGACUAUGAGAGUUAUUCAUAUUUUACUAUCUGUUUUUGUAGCAACACCCAUUCAUGAUGGCAUGAGUACACCUAUGCACCCAUGAGUCCGUCAAGGUAAAUUUCACGUGUUCUAGUGCACUUGAGAUAUUAAUUGAGAUAAUGUGGAUAACAUUGUAGAAUGUAUGUGCUGUAGAAAUUCCAUAAAUUAUUGUUAUUUAAAUAUUUUCAUUUACUUUUAUGAUAUUGUCUUACAGUUAAACCGAGGAACAUUUAAAUUCAAAGAUGACAAUUGACAACUUUGAAUAACUUUAUGAUAAGCUUGAAAAUAUUAAUGCUAUAGCAGAUAGCUAAUGAAUAUUUAUAGUUUUUAGUUUAUUUUUUGCCAGUCUGGCAUUGAAAAUUAAGAAAUAAUUCUUGAAUGUAUAUUUGUUGCUUUGUUCUUUCUCCAUAAUUCUUCUCUUAGUCAAUUCCUUUUGGAAAAUACUUUUAUGUUGAUUCUUUGUAUUCUGAAGAUGGCAACACCUUAUUGAUGAAAAACAUGACUAUAUGAAAAUGGAAAAUAGAAUUUUAAGUACAUUAAUUAUUGAAAUAGUGGGAUUGAGAUGGAUGGAAUGCACAUUUUUAACGCUCCUUAAGUUGCAUGGUUGAAUUUUGGACUAGGGAAGCUAGUAUAAAGAACAGUCAAACAAGAUGUGGUUUGUCAUUUUUCAGAAGGCAGGCUGUCAUAUUUGGUACAUAUUAAUGGUUUGUUUAGAUAUUGUUUGUAGAGUGAUUGAAGUCAUAUCAAGUUGGAAGCUAAGAGAUUGGGUGAAAGCUAAGCAAUCGUUGAAGGUUGAAGGUUGAAGACUGUGAAGUUCAAAGUUCAGUUAACAGCUCCUACAAUGCGAUCAAAUCCACCUACUCAAACCCACCUUCUGUUUCUAAAGCAGAAGAGAAUUGUGUUAGACUCACCUUCUAUUCCUAAAGUAGAAGAGCUUUCAAUGACUUAACCAAGUGAGCGAUUAAGUUUUUUAUCAUCCAUAUUGUUUCCUAUCCGUACUUCUAUCUAGAGAAAGAAAGCUACAUAGAAAAAGUAGACUACCAAAUGGGAAAAAAAAGAUUAGUAAGCAGUGUUAUUUUUGAAAAUAGUAAACAAAAAUUAACAUGAUUAUCAAACCAAGCCAUUCGAGAACAUGAAAUAGAAUUGGAUAGCUGUCGUGCAUUAUGUCUACAAAUGUUAUGAUAGUUACUAUGAUAUGGGGUUUAUGAAAGAGAAUUUCCUAUGUAUUUUAACAACAGAUGAUUCUUCAUCAUCAAGCAAAGUUUAUAGCUUUAAAGAGUACCUAAAGGUUACAAAAUAUCAGCCGAUAGCUCAUGAUAAGCUCCAAACGAAUUUUCCAGCACAAAGCCAGAGUGUAUCCCCAGUGCAACGUGAAGGUUGUUAAAAUCAAAUCUCUUAGGUCGUAUUCAAUAACUAUUUAGUUUUGGUUGUUUGUUUUCAUAGUUUUUUUUUUUUUUGUUGUAGGUAAAGUUUGAUCUUUUGAAAAGUUCUUUAGAGAAGCAUGUCAAUACCUCCAUCCUAUGCGAUUAUAAUCUUAGGGAAGACUUUUUGUUCCCUUUCCUUCUGUCAAUGCAUUUUUUCUUCUCUUUACAUAAAGGAAAAUUUAUUCUUUUAGUUUGAGAGCAAAUAUAUAUUAUCUUGAAUUUUAAGCAUUUCAGCAUCGUACGUUUUAUCAAAUAACAUAUGAUUGGAUGAAUUGACUACAUUCUUUGUGAUUAGUAUCAUUGAUUUUUUUGUUAUAUCAUUUUGUUCACAAUGGUUGAUGGUUGUAGUUUUCGUUAGUUGUUUUCAAAAUGAGUUUAUAUAAUUUUUUUUUCUUUGAAUCCUUGCCAUUGUUGAGUAGUAACUUGGCAUUUGUUUAUUAAAAGGUUUUAAUUAAGAUUAUGGUGUUCAUAACUUUGUAGUCACACUAAAUAACUUAAAAGAGUUAGUUUUUGAUAGUGACAAACAUGAUAGUAAUGUGAUACUGAGUGUGAGGGUAAAAAGAGCUGCUUCUGUUGUGAUAAGAGACGACCCCGUGGAGCGAGUGCUCUCAGCACAAAUCCUUAAAACGAUUGUAUGAAACUAAUCCAAUUGGGUUCAAGUGAUGUUUGUGUUUUUGGGUAUGGUGUGUUUUGUUUUCAAGUUCGUUAGUAGACGUAUUACUUAAUUGAACAUUUUGAUACCAUAGCCAGUGUAGAGACGAUGAAUGAAGGGUGCUAUAAGACUAGUUAAGACUUAUAUGUGCCUUAUUUCAGUAAUAAAUAAAAUUAAGAGAAUUUUCUUUGAUUUUUAGGAACAAAGAUGAAUAAGCAAUGAAAAAGGAAUGAAGAGGUUUAUCCAUGCAAGCUUCAAACCAAGUCAAGAUGUCAAUCCUUCGAGGGGAGUCCACUGUUCCCCCUUAUUUUUCUCCCUUUACUUUGAUUUCAAAAGCUUUGAGGACAAAGCAAGUUUUUAAGUGGAGUGGGUAAUAGCUUGCUUAGCUUGAAUGUUUAGUCUAAACUUGGGGGAUUUCAAAUUUUGCCCAAAUUAAGAAAAAAUUCAAAAAAAAUUUCCUUACAAUAAUGAGCAAUAUAGCUUCUUAGCUUACUUAGAUCUUGCAUAAAAAAUAUGACUAUCAACCCUUGAACACUGAGUGUAGCUGCAUCAUUCUUAACGCAUGAGAUCACGUCAACUCACUUCGAGAUAUAGUCAACAACCAAUAAUAUGUACACAUGAGUUCCAGACUAUGGAAAGGGGCCCAUGCAGUCUAUCCCCACAUAUGAAGGGUUUAACUCUAAGAUAGGUUGUUAGAGUAGUUCAUCGCGAUGGGUUAAAUUCCCUAUCCUCUGACACCUGCCACAUUUUAUCACAAAGUCCUUCACAUCAUGAAAGAGAGUUGGCCAGAAAUAGCCACUCUGUAAUACUUUUGCAGCAGUCUUUGGCCACCACAAUGUCCAUCAUAAGGUGCUUCGUGGCAUUUGGCUAGUAUGUCAGUUGUUUCGUACUCAGGCACACACUGCCUUAUUAUGGGAGUUGACUUAGUUUGUACAGAAAAGGCUCAUCCUACCUAUAAAAGCGACAUUCAUGAAAUAACUUCUUCGUUGCUUGACUGUUGAAAUCUUGCAGCCAUUCCUUACAAACAAGAUAAUUUAUUGUCGACGUACCAUGCUUCUUUUAUUUCAACGUGGAAAAGCUGCUCAUUUGGGAAUCUUUCAAAUCUCCUUGGCCUCGGGCUGAAGUUUAUCAUUCUUAAGUCGUUAUAAGUGAUCAUAUACUUGGUUCUAUGUGCCUUUGCAGUUAAUUAUCUCAACGUUAAAUUCCUGAAAUAACAAAAUCUAUCAUAUUAACUACGGUUUUGCAUCUUUGUUCACCAUAAGGUAUCUAAUCGUAGAGUGAUCCGAAUGCAAUGUGUUUUUUGAACCAAUGAUGUAACUUCUGAAUUNNNNNNNNNNNNNNNNNNNNNNNNNNNNNNNNNNNNNNNNNNNNNNNNNNNNNNNNNNNNNNNNNNNNNNNNNNNNNNNNNNNNNNNNNNNNNNNNNNNNNNNNNNNNNNNNNNNNNNNNNNNNNNNNNNNNNNNNNNNNNNNNNNNNNNNNNNNNNNNNNNNNNNNNNNNNNNNNNNNNNNNNNNNNNNNNNNNNNNNNNNNNNNNNNNNNNNNNNNNNNNNNNNNNNNNNNNNNNNNNNNNNNNNNNNNNNNNNNNNNNNNNNNNNNNNNNNNNNNNNNNNNNNNNNNNNNNNNNNNNNNNNNNNNNNNNNNNNNNNNNNNNNNNNNNNNNNNNNNNNNNNNNNNNNNNNNNNNNNNNNNNNNNNNNNNNNNNNNNNNNNNNNNNNNNNNNNNNNNNNNNNNNNNNNNNNNNNNNNNNNNNNNNNNNNNNNNNNNNNNNNNNNNNNNNNNNNNNNNNNNNNNNNNNNNNNNNNNNNNNNNNNNNNNNNNNNNNNNNNNUGGGAUGGCGAUUGGAAUUGAUUACUUUGGUUAAAAUUUAAGAUUAGAUUAAAAAAAUCAAUUAAUAGAUAAUUCCAUCCAAUCAAAAUAACUAAAUAAAAGACGAGAUUUGAAAAUAUAAUAUCCUAAUAGACACUAAUAGACUUAUAUUAAUAGAUAAUUUCCUGCCGAUGAAAAAUUACUAAAGUUGUACUAUAUUUUAUAAAUAUUUCAAAACAUUACAUAAACACUAAUUAAAGUUGGGUUUAGUAGCAAAAGGUUACAAAUUUAUUGACACCUUUUAGGAAAAAAAAUACCUUGACAUGAUGUAAACUAAAUUUGUAAUCAGCAUUGAAAUCUUUACUAUAUAAAUGGGCUCGUGGAGAAAAAAUUAUAUACAUCUAUUUUAUUCUUAAAUUGUCGAAAAAAAAUUAUAUUACCUUUUGUGAUCUAACGUAGUUGUGACUUUUAUAGUGUAAGUGUCCAUUUUAAUGUUUGGAAAGAUGAUUUUUCCAAUUUUUUAGUUUACAAAAUAAAGUUCUAUAUUUCAUAAAAUAAAACCUUAUGUUGAAUAUAUGUAACUAAUGUUGAUAGGAUGUGAUUGGUUGAUCUUCAAGAUACGAUGCAUUCUGUUUAGAGUGGAGAUGGUUGCACACACAUCAAAUUGGUGCAUUGAUUCCUCCAAAUUUACAUGUGAAAUGUAAAUGUAAAAGAAAAACAAAACAAACUCUUGCAGUUACACAUUAGGAAAAAAAACGUCACGAAAUUCCAAAGUUCAAAAGAAAACAAACAUACACAGGGAUUUAAUUGAUUCAAAGUAGUAACAAAUGGUGAAAAAAUGCAUAAUUUGUUGUGAUUUCACAUUAACAUGUUAGAAUAAAAAAUUAUCGUAUUCUAUAUAUUACAAUAUUGGAUCAAAUAUUAAUACAUUAAUUUAAUUAUUUAAUUACUACAUCAAUGAAUUUCUUUUUCUUUUUUAAAUAAUAAUUUUACCAUUAAUAUUAUAUAAUAUUUGUUUAUUAUAUGCUAAAGCAUAUUUAAAAAUUAAAUAGAAUUAAGAGAUUUCACGUGAAUUUAUGCACAUGUUUCAACUGAAAAGAUGGAAACAAUAGUCACAAAUUAUUUUUUCCUAAAACAAAACAUUCGUAACCAAAUCUAAAUAUGCACUUUCAUAACUAAGGACCAAAACUCAUAUUACGUAGAAUUGAGCAUGGUUUAAAUGAAAUUAUUAACAAAAUACUUACACUUUAAACCAGGUUUUUUGGCAACAUACAUAGUGAGAAAAUUCCAAAUUUACCCUCUUACUUGUAUCUUUUCAAUAAAAAGUGCAUCUUAGUUGUAAUUAUGUCAAAAUAAAAAUAAAAAAAUAACUCGUCAGUUAACGUGGUUAUUCAUUAAUUGAUUUGGGUGAACUUUCUGAAGAUAAAAAUAACAAAAACAAACAAACAAAAGACUAGAACAUGUUAUUUAAUUAUGUAAUUACAACUUCCCUUUCUCCUCCGUGAGAAAAAAAACCAUUUCUCUAAAUUUCAUCUAUAUAUGUGUAUUGAUCAAAUGACCCAUAUCAAUAAGGACACAAAAUUGGCAAAGAACAAAUAAAUUAAAAUGGACAAUAACUCUUGUUUCAUUACUUUCUCUCUCAUUGGAGUUCUUUUGUUCACCAUCAUUUCAAAUGUGGCAUCAUCUAACGACGUUGUUUCUACCAUCUGUUCAGAAAUCUCAAAUCCACAAUUUUGUUUAAGUGUGUUGAAAUCUGCAGGCACUACAGAUCUAAAAGGCUUGGCUGUAUACACCUUAAACCUUGCUCAUUCAAAUGCUGGCAAAUCUUUGAUCCUAGCCAACUCACUAGCAAAAGCCACCACCAAUCCUCAACUUAAGCAACGAUAUUCAUUUUGUGCUGAGAGCUAUGAUGAAGUUGUUGGUGACAUUGAAAAUGCUCAAAACGACUUGGCACUUGGGGACUUUAUUGGUGUCAUUAUUGCAACUACUGGUGCCAUGACAACUCUUGGUGAUCACUGUCAGAAUAAGCUCUUGCAGCCCGCCGAAGGAUACAUCGUUGCUUUUAAAGAAUAGCAACACUCUAGAUGAUAUAUUUAGCAUUAUUAUGGUUAUAUCCGAUCAUCUUUGAGGGUUAUGUACUUGAACAUUUUGAUCAAUAAAUAAACUGAAGUUUAAUUUUUAAAAUAAUAUUACAAUGUGAUGGUGAUUGGAAUUGAUUACUUACUUUGAUUAAACUUGAGAAGAUAAAGAAAAUCAAUUAAUAGAAACGUUCACCGACACACAUUGUCAGCACGUCGGAGAAAGCCUAAACUUUUUUUUCUUUUCUUUUACGUUCUGUUUUCUUUUCUUUGUUUGCCAUCAUCAUCAUCUUCUUCUUCUUCUUCUAGCUUCUUAUGUUCUGUUUCAAUUGCAUACUUCUGUUAUUCUUGUAAUUUCUUCGUGGUUUUCUUUUUAACUUUGUGUUUCAGUGUGGAUUCAUAAACACAUUUUUCAGUGCUCUGGAUUCUGGAUCUGUUAUGAUUUGAAAGGGUACAGUGAAGUGAAAAGUUGAAAUGGAAAAGAAAAAAAGAAGAAAAGAGGACACUUCUCGCGGUGGUGGCGGCAAAGACUGACGUCGACGACAACACAACUCUCCUCCUCUCCCUAUAUCUCGGCCGAUUUUGGGUUUAUUUUCGUUUUGCAUUCUGUUAUGUGUAGAAGGGAGAAUAAAUAGUGUGGACUUUCCCCGACAUCUUCGAAAACGUUGGGAAAUUUACCUUUCGCCGACGUAUGUAGUACACACGUCGGAGAAAGUUUAAAUAAUAAAUUCAUUAUUUAAACUUUCCCCGACGUACUCCUGUCAUACGAGUCUAAAUUAAAUUUAAUGCGUUCUCCUUCGGCGAUGUGUGUCAAGGUGACGUUGGAAAAAGUUUAAACACUAAUGCAAUUAUUUUAAAUCACAUAUGUUAUCGCUUAUAUGGCAUAAGAGUCUAUUAACGAUAGAAAUCUAUCUUGAUAGGUUUUGCUACAUUUACAAUUUUUAAAAAUAUUCUUAUAUACUUAACUAUUAUUCCUAAAAUUGCUAACCCAUUAUACUUACCCUAAGUUAAAUGUAUAAUGUCAAAAGUAAGUUUACUACGAAGGUAAUCUAUGUGACCCUUUUAUCCUAACGUAGGAAGUUUGUUCCACUCCAUACCAUUAUUGAACUAAAAGGAUUAAGUGUGUAUUAAUAUGUUUAAACAAGUAUAAUUAUAGCAAAAUCUAUAAGUGAUAUAUUGAUAUUAGCAAUACAAUACGCGUCACAUAUGCAAACAUUUUGUGUCUAAUCGUUGUAUUUACAAUUAACUCCAUUAAAAUAUUACAAAUAGAAAUAGAACUCUUUAACUAUGUUCAGUUAGGAUCACAAACUACAAAAUGAAAGCAUGGAACAAAUUUAAUUUUUUUUUUCUUUAAAGGAAAUUUUGUGUGUAGCACAUUAUAUUUUUUUCUUUCCUUUAAAAAACAUUAUUGAUCUUAUGAUAUUUGACAUAUAUUAUAUUUUUUUAAGAAUGUAAAUAAUGUAAAUAAUGUGCCAAAUAAUUGAAAACAUGUUAUCCAAAACAGAGAAUGGUUAAGAAAUUGUUGACAUUUAGUCAAAUUAAUAAAUAAUUCAAAAUUGUGUUUGAUUUUUGAAUUUGAAAAGAUAGUAAAUUAGAAGUGUUUUGAAAUAGUGUUUACGAGAAGAUUUUUAAUUUUAAAUAGCAUUAUAGUAGCUAUGGAUGGUUAUAUAAUAGUCUACACAAUCUUUGUCACAAAUGAUUAAUUCGAUUUUUUAAAUCAAGUCUAAUGUUUUUUUUUUUUUUUUUGCCUAUUUCUUACCAUAAUUUACAUUUUUUGUAAGUAUAAUGGUUGAAUGCAAAAAGAGAGCUGACUAGUAAGUGCAAAAAGAGAUCUCACAAGCUUCUGCAAAAGCUAAUCAAGCAACCCAAAUCAUAAACGAGGAGAAAAGUUGAUUGGUUAAGCUUUGUUGUAGUAAAGAAGUCAAAGUGAACAUGGAACGUUCUUCACUCUCAAAGAACAUCGCCAACAUAUAGAUUAUAUACUUUUUCUGGUAUUGACCCAAAAAACCAAUCCAAGUGUAUUUUUGGUGAGAUGCAUAGUUUAACUAAACCGUGUUAUUACAAAAUUUUUAAUUACUAGGAACUCCUAAUGAAACGAAUACAUUAUUUUUAUAAUUACGAGGUAAAAUGGAAACAUACAAACUACUAAAAAAAGUUGCAAUUCGAUUAUUGGGAUUCAAUCUACUCUCCAUGAAUGUUCUUGAAAUGAGAGUUUUUAAGCAGCUACAACUUGCUUAUGUAUAAAAGCAAAACCCUUCUCAACGCCUACCUUCAGUUUUGGCUUUAGAGCUUCAAGUGAUUUUUGCCCCUACUCAGAUAAACCCUGAAGAUCAGAUGUUACAAAGGCUUCAAUUCCACAUGCAAAAAUCAUGUUCAUGAACCAAAAGCACCUUAAGCUUCUCUUCGAUAUCUUUGAGCUCACUGGAUAAAGAACUGAUUUCUAAAGCAAUCAUCUCUACCAUAUCCUCAUCGUUCCCACUGUCUUUUAAUAAGGUUGGCAUGAUAAUCACAACAAAGAAGAAGAAACUAAGAUCAAUUUAACAAAUUUUAUGUUGGGAAACUUUUUUAAGAACAACUACUUAUAAACCAACCUUAGCUUUGGCCUCACAUUCCUUGAAUUUUCUAAAAGUAGAUACCACCUGUCCGGGCAACCCACACCAACCAACCAAGAGUAAGUUAGUGUGAAAGACACUUAUUUAAUGAAGAAUAUGUAAAAGAGGUCAUUCCAACUGUUACACAUAAUAGUAUUGGAGGCAGAUAACCUUGCCAUACCUCAUCAAGUUCUGAUAUUGAUUGAGCUAGUUUUUGAUACUCUGUGGGGUUUGAGACAAUAUCUGGAUUGACCAGCUUAACCUAAAUAAUAAUAUCGAUAGUGAUUAUUGUGUAGGAAAAUAUUAAAGCUAUAACCAAAUCAAAAGCAUAAUUGGAAAUACAGGGACGUCAACUGUUUUAGUAGGGGAGAAUGUCAAGAGCAUGCUUGUCCAAGGCAUUGUUUGCCCAUGGCCGCAUGGCCGAACAUCCUCAAACCACCUUAUAUUUAUGUCUUAUACUUAGUUUAGCCAUUUUGUUUCCUUUUGUUGUCGCCGACCUAGGGUGUGACGUUUCAAAAUUUUCAUAUGCAAGUCUAUCAUAACUAAAAAUGUUUAAAAUGUACUAUAGGGAAGACAUAGUAGUUGAAUCCCUGACCAAGCCUUGUUGCACUCUUUGCAUUCUAAUCUUUCUUUGCAAUUAACAGUCUUCAAUGCUUUCUUUAACGAUGUUUUCAAUUCUUUUCUUCUCUUCUUGUCUUAUAAAAAUAAAUUUCUCUCAAAACAUGAAAGAGGCUAUACCGUACUGCGUGCUUUUUGCGACUUCUGGAUUUCAUACAGCUUACUUGUUCACCGAGCUAGAACAAACGUCGCAUAAUCACCAUCCCCUAUUUGAAAAUUUACGAUUAUGACAGCAUGCGGUGAGGUGCACGCGGCAUGUGUGGGCCCAAGCCAAGCAUGCAACUGGCAUUCUGAUACUCUAUGCACGUGCAUGCUGCCUGCGCCCAUGCCGUGCAGCCAGCAUUGUCAUGACGUAGUUUUUGGGAUGUUUGGUGUUUUGGGAAAUUUUGAGCAAAUUCUGGAUGUUCGAGCAUGCGGAUGUUCUAUGCAAUGCAACCAGCAGCCCAUAUGUUCUAUGUUCUCUUUACGGUCGUAUGUACACAUUUGGUUAACUCUACUACUAAUGGGAAAGUUGACGAGCCUAUGCUGAAUUCAUCAGGAAAGGUGUACUUUAUUGAGCCCAUUGAGGAGAAGGAUACCUUCUUUUUUCGAAGAGGUGUUUCAAUGCCUAGGCCGUCUUUUGACAAUGAGGUGUUAAUAUUACCUAGACUUCAUGCUAAGAACGGGUUGUGAAUUUAUAAUCAAGAAUGCAGUUCGAGUAUCAUGUCUUUCAAAUGAUUUCCAACAGCUUGAAUGUUUCUAUAAGACAAGAAUUUAUGCUUAACUGUUUUAGAAAGCAUGUUUUAUAAAAAUUGUCACUCACUAAGUCUUUCGACUUAUCCUUUCAAAUCAUUUCUCACUUUUCAGGUAUGGAUUAUGCAUUCCCUAAUGUUAAGCGUAUUGCUGCUGAGCCAACCAGUUACUAGAAAUUGUUAAGUCAUUUUGAAAGUUAGUUUUGACUUUGUAAGAAAAGUUCAGGAUGAGCAUGUCUAUGUUUAUUGUUAAAGUUCCAAUGUUAUAAGUAGUUUAGUAAAAAGGUCACUGUCAUGUUUAAAGCUUCUGCUGAUGUAUCACAAUAGUUGUAACUAGUGGUUUAAGUUAUUAGUUUGCAUGUAGCUUGUAUCGCUGUUUGUUUUGAGCAUGCAUUCAUGUUGUAACUGGUAGUUAAGUUAGAAAGGUUAGUCGGUUGGUAAGUUUUGCCAAGGUAUGGCAAUCCUUGCCAACCCUCGCACCUUCUUUCAGAGCUAGAUGUUGUUCAGAAAAUAAGGAGCUUUGGGAGGGGGUGGUGACAACAACACCAUCCCACUAGAGUACGCAAUGAUGCAUUAUUGUUUAAUUAAGUCAUAUAUACUUCCACAAUUUGGAUAGGAAUUUAACUCAUUAGAAGGUGUCCUAUAGAAUUUCUCAGUGAAAAGUUCAGAGAAGCUACAAACAAAUGUCACUACCGAACAACAAUCAUAUACAUGGGUUAGGGCUUUGAGCAGUGUGAACACAACUUAAUAAUAAAUAUGAAGUCGUCCUCUUUUCAUCAUUAGUCAGAAGAAUUCUUAAACUUUCUAAAAAUAAUUGUCAAAUAAUUGAUUAUAUAGUAUGCCAUUUAUUUGGAAUACAAUUUUUUCAUUACCAGGAAAGGAGACUUCUCACUAAGUAAAUGUAAAGAGACUAAUGCUAUAAUUUGAAUUGGAAAAUAUAAUUUCAUAAUUAAGCAUCGAAUAGGGACUAGUUAAGAAGUACACACUUUAGUUUGCCAGAGUCCAUGUUCUACACAUGUUAGCCACUCUGUCAUUGGUUUAGCAGUAAAACAAAGGAUGUGUUUAGGAUGUGAGCCACACAAAAGGGAAAGAAAACAGAAGGCGCAGUGAGCCACACAAAAGGGAUCGAAACGAAUGUUCAGAAAUAUCGGAAGGAUCGAAGAAAUAUGGAAGGAAAGACGAGGAAAAACAACAGACCGGAGCAAGUUCAAGAAGGUAGAGAUCCCGAUCUUCAAUGGAAUAGACCCCGAUUCAUGGUUAUUUCGCGCCGAUCGUUAUUUCAAGAUACACAAGUUGACUGACUCAGAGAAGUUAAUGGUAGCGGUAAUCAGUUAUUAGGACCAGCUUUGGAUUGGUAUAGAUCAAUUGAUGAAUUGGAACAAUUCAAGAGUUGGGAAGAUUUGAAGCAAAGGUUGUUGUCCGAUUUCAGACGAUUCGGGAUGGAACACUCGUAGGCAGAUUCUUAAGGAUUAAGCAGGAAACGACAGUAGGGGAAUAUAGAAACAGUUUCGAUAAAUAUUUAGCUCCGGUAGCCUUCCUCCAGACCAUAGUAUUAGAAGAAACCUUUAUGAAUGGGCUAAGCCCAUGGCAUAAAUCCGAAGUUGAAACGCUGGAGCCCAUAGGUUUGGCCAAGAUGAUGUAACUAGCCCUGAAAUUGAAAAUAGAGAGAUGGUUCGUCGAGAAUGUGGGCUUAGUAGUGUUUCGGGAAUGAAUCAACAAUUCAAGCAUAAUAACGUAAAGCAAACCUCGACAGUAACACCCAAUCAGAAACCCACGGAAGGGAGCUGGCCAAUGAGAACGAUUACGUUAAAAAGAGUGACGGCAGAUGAAAAGAGGAGGGAAGGUCCGACCAAGCGUCUUUCCAACGCUGAAUUUCAAGCACGAAGGGAAAACGGUCUGUGUUUUCAGUGUGAGGAGAAGUAUCACGCUGGACAUAGGCGUAAGGUGAAGGAACAGAAGGAAUUACGGAUGUUAGUAGUAAAGGAAAUGGGAGAAGAACUGGAAAUCAUUGAGGAUGAACACUUUGAUGUGGAAACGGAGGCCCAGACCAUUGAAAUUGAAAAAGUGGAGAAUAUGAAUAUAGAGCUACCAUUAACUCAAUUGUGGGGUUAUCCAACCCUGGAACCAUGAAACUGAAAGGGAAGAUAAAAGAGACCAAAGUGGUAAUAAUCAUCGACAGUGGAGCCACCCACAGUUUUAUUGCAAAAAAUUUUGUAACCACCCUUAGCCUACCAAUGACAGAAACGUCCAACUAUGGAGUGAUUUUGGGAUCAGGGGUUGCGGUCAAAGGAAAAGGAAUCCGCAGUAAUGUUGAAGUGACGGUAGGAGAGUGGAAAAUUACAAACAACUUUUUACCCUUGGAAUUAGGGGUGGUUGCACUCAUUGGGCAUGACUGAAUUUGAUAUGAAAAAUUUGGUGAUGACAUUCCGACAUGGAGGAAGGAAGAUAGAGAUAAAGGGGGACCCUAGUGUCACCAAAACCCAAGUGAGCCUAAAGUCUAUAAUUAAGACAUGGGGAGCUGAUAAUCACGGUUAUUUGGUAGAAUGUCGGGCCAUGGAGGGAAGGCUAGCUGAGGAAGGCUUAGAGGAUGAAGAAGUGCCAGCCACUGUUGACAACAUGAUCUCUCCUCUGUUGAGCAAAUUUAAUGAUGUUUUUGAUUGGUUGGAAGAGCUGCCUUCGAAGAGGAACAUUGAGCACCAUAUACCCCUUCAGAAGGGGGUGGAUCCAGUUAAUGUCAGACCUUAUCGUUACGCACAUCGGCAAAAGGAGGAAAUUGAAAGACUAGUUGAUGAAAUGUUGAAGACAGGCAUCAUAUGACCGGGUACCAGUCUGUAUUCCAGCCCAGUCCUUCUCGUGAAAAAGAAAGAUGAUAGCUGGCAAUUUUGUGUAGAUUAUCGGGAGUUGAACAAUGUCACUAUCCCAGAUAAGUUCCCAAUUCCGGUCAUAGAUGAGUUAUUCAAUGAGCUGAAUGGGGCCAACAUGUUUUCGAAGAUUUAUUUAAAGGCGGGUUAUCACCAAAUCAGGAUGCAUCUGAGAGGUGUAGAGAAGACGACCUUUCGAACACAUGAGGGACACUAUGAGAGGUCAUGCCGUUUGAGCUAACCAAUGCCCCCUCUACGUUCCAAGCAUUAAUGAACCACAUCUUUAAGCCUUAUAUGAGAAGAUUCGUAUUAGUGUUUUUCGAUGACAUUUUGGUGUACAACAGGGGAGUAGAAGAACAUGGACAGCAUCUGGAAGUAGUCUUGGAGAUCCUUCGAGAGAAUGAAUUGUAUGUGAAUUUAGCCAAAUGUUGCUUUGCCAAAAGUAGAAUAGGUUAUUUGGGGCAUUUCAUAUCCGAAAAGGGAGCUAAAGUUGAUCCAGAAAAAAUAAGGGCAAUUAGGGAAUGGUCGAUUCCCACUAGUGUGCGAGAAGUUCGAGGUUUCUUAGGACUCAAUUGAUACUAUAGGAAGUUUGGGCAGAAUUAUGGCAGUAUCGAAAGCCCUUUGACACAGCUUUUGAAGACAGGAACUCAUUGUUGGACUGAAGAAGCAAGUGCUGCCUUUGAGAAGUUGAAGAUGGCAAUGAUGAUUCUACCGACGUUAGCUAUGCUGGACUUUAAUCUACCACUCGAGAUAGAAACAUAUGUAUCUUGUUUUGGUGUGGGGCCGUUUUAGUACAAGCCAAGAGACAAAUAUCCUUCUUUAGUAAAACCUUAUGCAUGUGGGAUAGAGCGCGACUGGUUUAUGAAAGAGAAUUGAUAAUAGUAAGUGUUUUGCGGUGCAAAGGUGGAGACCAUAUUUGUUAGGGAAGAAAUUUACAGUGAAAACUGAUCAGAAGUCGCUCAAAUUUCGGCUAGAACAAAGGGUGAUUCAACCCUAAUACCAAAAAUGGAUAGCCAAUCUUUUGGGAUAUUUCAUUUGAGGUAGUCUGCAAUCCUGGGAUUGGAGAAUAAGGCAGCCGAUGCUCUAUCUAGAACACCCCGUAUAGUGCACUUAAAUCAAAUAUCAGCCCCAACACUACUCGAUUUAGUGGUGAGUCAAGAAGAGGAAAAGAGGGAUCAAUACCUACAGGAAAUCCAGAAGAAAAUAGAAAGAACAAAAAGUGAAAGUUCCAAACUUUUCAGUACAGCAAGGGGUAUUGAAAUACAAAGGAAGGUUGGUGAUGUCAAAAACAUCCGUUCUACUACCCACUAUUCAUGCAUACCUAUUCAUGAUUUUGUCUUUGGAGGACAUUCAGGGUUCCUAAGAACGUACAAGAGGAUGACCGGAGAGAUUUACUAGGAAGGAAUGAAGAAAAACAUAAAGAAAUACUAUGAAGAAUGUCUUGUAUGCCAAAGGAAUAAAACACUUGCAUUAUUACCUGCUGGAUUGCUGCUGCCACUUGAGAUUCCUAACACAGUGUGGUCGGAUAUUUCCAUGGAUUUUAUAGAUGGACUUCCAAAAUCAGCUGGAAAAGAAGUGAUUUUUGUGGUUGUAGAUUGUCUGAGUAAGUAUGCACAUUUUUACAGCUAUAAAUCAUUCUUACAUGGCCAGCUUCGUAGCAGAAGUUUUUGUUAAAGAAGUGGUGAGAUUGCACGGGUAUCCGCAGUAAGUUGUAUCGGAUCAAGACAAAAUCUUUAUUAGUCAUUUCUGGAAGGAAAUGUUCAAGUUAGUGGGAACUAAAAUAAAUAGAAGGAAAUGUUCAGGUUAGUGGGAACUAUGCCACAUACACCAAGUUCGAAUAUAGAACUUGCUUCUUACUGAAAAAAUAAUGAUUAUUGGGACUUGCUAUAAAGGGUAUCCAAUACUCGAAGUAAAUGAAUGAUUACAAAAUGAUUGUUUCCUCAGUUUGAAGAAGAACAACAAAAAAGAAAAGAAGGAUAAAAAAAAAAAAAAACAAACUUUCUUUUUGAAAUUCUAAAAGAAUCCAAAAAGACUUCAAAAGGUGCAACCAAGAAAGGAGGUCAAAGAAGGGCUCUGAUAGACCCCCCUAUCAUACGUCAAUAUAGUCGAAAAAAAAAGAGAGAGAUCACAAGGGAACACACAUGCGAAGAAGAAAAGAUUUAAAGGACUGUUAGAAGAAAAGAUUUAAAAAGCUUGUUGGGCGUCGGUUAGAUUUGAGGAGAUUUAGGAGGGUCGUUAGGUGUUGAUUAGAAUAAAUAAGGAUAGGGAGGAAAGAGGAGGGUAUGCUGAGUUUAGAAGAAAAUUGACUCAUGCUCUUCCUUGAGCGAUAGGAUAGCAGAGAGGGAAUUAGAUUGUUUUUCGAAUUGAGUCCUCCUCAAUUUGAGUGUUCUGAUAUUUUGAUUUUCCUUGUAACUCAUUCUUUGAUUGAAGCAAUAAAAGUUCUAAUUGGAUUUCCAAAAGAGUUCUAUCAAAUUGGUAUCAGAGACAGUUUUUUCUGACCAAGAGGAAAAUGAUGGUCCAAACACGAAUGAAGGAGAGAAUGGAGGCGCACGACCAGGAGAUGCAUUUGAUGAGAAGCGAGAUAAGCAAAAUUUCGACAAUGAAAGAAAUAUUAGCCACGAUCAGCGUACAGACAAAGAAGACUCACAAAAUGUUGAUAAUGUUCAUGGAAUCGAUUACCAGAGAGCAUAUCGUUAUGAGUGAGAAAAUGGCCGAGUCGAGUGUGCGAGAGACAGUAUCAACAAUAACGAAUAAGAAGGAAGGCUCGAUCGAAAAGGACCAUGAGCACGAAACAAAGGAUGGAAAGAUAGAAGGAGAAGACGGAGCGAACGAGCAUAAUAAGUUCAAGAAGGUUGAGAUGCCAGUUUUCAACACGGAAGAUACCCAAUUUUUGACCCUUUCGAGCAGAUAGAUAUUUUCAGAUACACAAAUUGACUGAUGCUGAGAAGGUCCUGGUUGCGACCAUUAGUUUUGAAGGCCCGACGCUGAACUAGUAUAGGGCGCAAGAAGUACACGACAAGUUUACCAGUUGGUCGAACCUCAAGGAGAGAAUACUCAUCCGUUUUCAAUCAGCAAAAGAGGGGUCCAUAUGCGGACAAUUUUUUAGGAUCGGAUAACAGACGACAGUAGAAGAAUAUCGAAACCAGUUAUAUAAGCUGAUGGAACCGUUAUCCGAUCUACAAGACAGAGUGGUGGAGGAAACAUUCAUGAACGGUUUACUGCCGUGGAUUAAAGCAGAAGUGGAUUUUUGUCGUCCGGUCGACGUGGCUCAAAUGGUGCACGCGGCUCAACUCGUAGAAAAUCGAGAGAUAAUUCACAAUGAGGCCAACCUUAAGGGGUACGCCCAAGGAAAAUAUCCGCCUCAAGGUUCUAGGCAAAAUACGAGUGCUGCGACGGUGAACGAUAGCGACAAUAAGAGAAAUACAUUAUUUUCGAUGAGAACGAUUACUCUGAGAACGACAUCCAGAGAAGUUAAGAGAGGGGCAGGCAAAGCGAUUGUUAGACGCGGAGUUUUCAAGUCAGGAAGGAAAAAGGACAUUGUUUUCCGUUGUAAUGAGAUAUAUUAUCAUGAUCAUCGAUGCAAAAACAGAGGGCAAAGAGAGUUGAGAAUGUACGUGGUCAGGGCGAAUGAUGAAGAAUUUGAAAUCAUAGAAGAAGUGGGAGAAAAUGAAUUGUUUGGAAAUCACAUAAGAAGAUCAUGUUGUCAUCGAACUGUCAAUUAAUUCGGUGGUGGGGCUGAACAAUCCGAGGACAAUGAAGGUGAGGGGGAAUAUCAGUGAGCGAGAAGUUUUCAUUUUCAUUGAUUGUGGAGCAACGCACAACUUCAUCUCCGAAAAGAUAGUAAAGGAGUUACAACUGGCCACGAAGGCAACGUCGCACUAUGGUGUAAUCUUGGGCUCGGGGAAGGCGAUAAAAGGUAAAGGAGUAUGUGAGGACGUGGAAAUCAAGUUGAACGGGUGGAAGGUGGUGGAAAAUUUGUUACCCUUAGAAUUGAGAGGGGUAGAUGUUGUGUUAGGAAUGCAGUAGUUGUAUUCAUUGGGCAUGACGGAAGUAGAUUGGAGGAACCUCACAAUGACUUUUGUGCAACAAGGAGAAAAGGUAGUGAUAAGAGGAGACCCAAGUUUGACCAAAUCCAGAGUGAGUCUCAAGAACAUGAUCAAAAGUGUGGAAGGAUUCGUGAUCGAGUGCCGAGCAAUGGAGAGAGUCUUUGAGCCACAGGAAGAUAACGGGAUUGAAGAAGUAUUAACUACUGAUGAAGCAGUAUCGGUCGUGUUGAAGAAUUUUGAAGAUGUUUCUAAUUGGCCGAAGACACUACCCCCGCAAAGAAAUAUUGAACAUCACAUUCAUUUGAAACAGGGCACUGAUCUGGUAAAUGUUCGACCCUAUAGAUACGCUUAUCAACAGAAAGCUGAGAUGGACAAACUUGUGGAUGAGAUGUUGACAGCGGGAAUUAUCCGUCCCAGCAACAGUCCAUAUCUAGUCCAGUUCUAUUGGUAAUGAAAAAAGAUGGCAGCUGGCGUUUUUGCGUAGACUACCAAGCGCUGAACAAUGUAACCAUUCCAGACAAAUUCCCUAUUCCGGUGGUUAAGGAGCUUUUCGAAUGAAUUAAAUGAAGCAAACUGGUUUUCAAAGAUUGAUUUGAAGGUGGGGUACCAUCAGAUCAAAAUGUGUGGAGAAGACAUCGAAAAAGCAGCAUUCCGAACACAUGAUGGACACUAUGAAUUUAUGGUUAUGCCAUUCGGCUUAACUAAUGCCACAUCCACUUUCCAAGCUCUGAUGAACUCAACAUUCAAACCAUUUUUGCAGAAGUUCAUAUUAGUGUUUUUCGACGACAUACUAAUCUACAGUGAGAACUUGGAACACCAUUUGAAGCACAUUGGGUUAGCAUUGGAAAUCCUGAGAAAGAAUGAGUUAUAUGCAAACAAGAAGAAGUGCAGCUUCGCACAAGAACGUAUUGAUUAUUUGGGUCAUAUCAUUUCAAGACAAGGAGUUGAAGUGGACCUUGAGAAAAUCAGAGCAAUCACGGAAUGGCCUAUACCCAGUAAUAUAAGAGAGGUACGGGGAUUCCUAGGCCUCACCUGUAACUAAAGAAAGUUCGUUCAGCACUAUGGCUCCAUUGCCGCACCAUUGAUUCAACUACUUAGGAAAGGGGGAUUCCAGUGGACUGAGGAGUCUAAGGAGGCAUUCCAACAACUACAAAAUGCGAUGAUGACCCUGCCCGUUUUGGCGUUGAAAAAAUUUCAAUGCCACAUUUGAAAUGGAAACCGAUGCAUCGGGAUAUGGGGUAGGAGUCGUACUCGUCCAAGCCAAGCGUCCCAUAGCAUACUUUAGUCAUACGUUAGCCUCAAGAGAUAGAGCCAAGCCUGUACAUAAAAGGGAAUUAAUGGCAGUGGUCUUGCAUGUGCAACGAUGGCGACCAUAUCUGUUGGGGAGAAAAUUUAUUGUGAAGACCGAUCAGAAAUCCUUGAAGUUCUUGUUAGAACAAAGAGUGAUACAGCUUCAGUAUCAGAAAUGGGUAGCGAAGCUAACGGGAUACUCAUUUGAGGUGGUCUACAAACUCAGCUUGGAGAAUAAAGCAGUAGACGCCUUGUCUUGGAUGCCUCCUACAAUUAACCUCGGUAGCAUAACAGCUCCUACAUUGGUUGACAUUCUGGUGACUAAAAAGGAAGUCAAAGCGUAUGAAAAAUUAAGCAAAAUAAUGGAAGAACUACAAGCAAUGGAAGAAGUAACAGAGGGUAAAUUCUCCAUCCGACAAGGUAUGUUAAGAUAUAAGGAUAAGUUUGUGUUGUCCAAAACAUCUACAUUGAUACCCACAAUCCUACAUACUUACCAUGAUUCGGUACUUGUGAGGAAUGUGUAAUAUGUCAGAAGAACAAGUCCCUAGUGUAACGAGCAUACUUGUCCAAGGUGUGUUUACCUAUGGCCGUAUGCUCCGAUUAGCCCCAAUUUACCUUGUCUUUAUGUCUUGCACGUAGCUUAGGUAGUUGCUUUCAAUUUCAAGUCGAUAUGCUUGGGUGUGACGUUUCGGCAUUUUCAUAUGUUAAAAAUGUACUAUAGGGGAGGCAUACCUGUUGAAUCCCUGCCCAAGCCUUGUCGUACUCUUUGCAGUCUAUGCUUUCUUAUUGCAAUUGACAGUCUUCAAUGCUUGUUUUAACAACGUUUUCAAUCAAUUUAAUCAUCUUUCAUGUUUUCUAAAACUAUUUUUCCAAGAACGUGAGGGGAGGUUGAAGUAUGUGUUAAAGUUGUCUGCGAUUUGCAGAUUUUGAUCGGCUGACUUGUUCGCCGAGCUAGAACAAGUGCCGCACAAUCGUUCACAAUCGUGUAUGGGUUUCGUAAGGGUUACACAGUAAAGGAAGAGUAAGAAUUUGAGUGGAGAAACUCCAAUUGGGAUCAACACGUGGGCAACAACAUGGCUUCUCACCAACAUGAGAACUCAAAAGAGACAGCAGAUAUUCUAGAGAAGCCAAUGAACUCUUGGGAUGUGAAUCUGCACUUUCCUGCAAUAGUUUGAGUGUGAAUUAGUUCUCUGAAAACACCUGCAGAGGAUAAUCCACGGCAAAACAGAAUAACUAUAAAAAAACCACUUGCAAGUAGAAGAAAAAGGAAGUACAUUUAUACCUUCCCUGUCAAAGUGAUAUCCCUCAUCAACGGAUAUGCAUUUCUUUCCAGGAAGUAGCCAACAAUUUUACAAACCCAUGGGAGUUUAGGUUGUAAUAAGAAAACAAUUGUGUCCAACAAUAGAGUUGCAGGUGUGUUAGAGUUCACAGGUGCAGCCAAAAGUUGAUUCCUCAAUUGGUUUCUAUCAAGAACAACAUCAAGUAAGAAUAAUUCGGAGGAAAAAUAAAGGCAACUUAUCAUAUAUAUAAAUAUGAUUAGUCUGAAUUCGUUUGCGGAAGGUAAAAAAACCUUUAUGUCAAUUAUAUAUAUCUGAACAAAAUCUAAGAAAUAUAUCACUUUUCAACAAAAGAAAUAUAUCAUAUACAAUUAAAGGAUCAUAGCAUAGAAAGCCAACAAAAUCAACAAUGAUAGAUCAAACAUCUGUUUUUCCAUUCAAAACGUUAAAAAGGAUAAGUUUUUAAUAAGGAAUGUUGAAAUGGAAAAAACUAAUUACCUAUUAUGGUGUACAAUCUGGAUGCAAGCAUAUGCAAAUUUCUUAACUCUGUAAUCCACUAAGGCCUUGUUAAGUACAUAAUCCUUGCUAGCGAAAAUGCUCAACAUAUCCCCUAUAUAUGUAAGAGAGAGAAAGGUUAGAAAGUACUAACACUAAGAGAUAUGUGCUAUCAAUUAGAAACACUUUAAGAUGACAUUAUCAAUUAGAAAACCAAGUAUUAAGCAACAUAAGGGAAAAUAACAAACAAGGGCACCACAGUGGUUCAGAAACCAAUCAAUAUUUCCAUUUGUCACUUUUAUAAUAAUUUCCCAAGGGAAAAUCCUCAUAAUAAGCUUGAGUACCACCUAAUAACGUGUUCAAAUGUUACCAUAAGCAAAAAUGAGUGAUCCUAAAAUUCAUAUGACAAGGAAAGUCGUCAACUAGCAACCGCCAAAUAACAGUUAUAUGGCUAGAAUUAGUUUUCUCCAACUUCAAGAAAAUAAAACAUAUUAAAACAAAAGGAAUUAUGGUGCAAAAUAAUGAAUAUGCUGCAAAGGUAAGAAGUUUCUGAAGGUAAAAAUGGUCAAUAAAAAACAACAUAUAAUUUGACGUAAAUCAAAGUAGAAUUAUUUCUCGCAAUGAAUUCUCUGCCAAUAAUGGCUAAGAGAAGGGGUAUUUAUUGAGAAUUAGUUGGCCAGGCAGAAAUCAUCUAGGGCAUAGUAUUGUUUUAGGUCUGCGACAUUAAAAACAUAAUGAAUGUGUAAGUCUGGUGGUAGUUCUAUUUUGUAAGCAUUAUCUCCGAUCCUCUUUAGGACACGGAAUGGUCCUAAUUGUCUGUCUUUUAGUUUGUUGUAUGUUUCGGUUGGAAAUCGAUUUUUUCUUAGGUGAAUCAUUACUAAAUCUCCCUUGGUAAAGGUAGUUUGUCUUCUUUUUCUGUCUGUUGCGUCUUUGUAGGACUGAGUUGUUUCUUUUAGGUGAUUGUGGACUUCUUCGUGUAAAUUCUGGAUUUUUUCUAUCAUCUUUUCUGCCUCUGAUAGUUAGGGAACUCAACACAUUUUACUUGACCUAACCAAGAUGGCUCUUUGUAUGUAUAUUGCAUGUGUUGUUUGUUUUUUUCUAUAGCUCUUGAUUGUCUCACUUUUUUACGUUUUGCAUUUGCAAUUCUCUUUUCUUUCUUUGGUAUGCAAUGUGGUAACAAGGUCUUGCUAGAACCGGUGGGCUAACCUUUCUAUGGUUCUAAACUUAGUUUCUAAGUUUGACUGCUCCCUUCGGAGUGACAACAAGCCUCGUUUUUCUCCCUACUAUGGAACGGGAGGAUUCAUUUUCUUUUCAAAGCCCUCGUCAAACUCAAUGCUAAGUUUGACUGCUCCCUUCGGAGUGACAACAAGCCUUGUUUUCCCCUAAUGUGGAUCGGGGAGGAUUCCUUCUCUUUUCAAAGCCCUCAUCAAACUCGAUGUUGUGUUUAGAACGCUAAGAGUAGGUGGUCUGGUUUUGGUUAGGCCAAAAGUGAAGUUUUCCCCCAUUUUUUAUGGGCUUUUUCUAAUGUAUAUUGGAUAUGUUGUUUGAUUUUUUUUAUAGCUCUUGAUUGUCUUACUGUUUUAUGUUUUGCAUUGUCAAGUCUCUGUUUUCUUUCUUUGGUAUGCAAUGUGGUAACUAGGUCUUGCUAGAACCGGUAGGCUAACCUUUCUAUGGUUCUACAUUUAGUUCCUAAUUAAGUUUGAUUGCUCCCUUCGGAGUGACAAUAAGUUUUGUUAAUGUCGACCCUUUUCUAAAGGGAUUUAGUUCACUGUGGCUAGGCAAGAGGUUUCUAACUCAUGUUUGACAAGACAAAUUUGUUAAAACCAUCUUAGUUUCUAAAGAGUGCCUCCUAUCCCUUUUUUACUCUAUCUAGGCUAGGUUUGGACUAAGUGCAUCAUAGGUAAGUCACGACAAAGCAACAAAGGAAGACAAAGCUAGAAAAGUAUUCAUGCACUUAUUUAUUAUACAUGCAAUCAAGCAUUCACAACAUACAUACCAUUUUCUCAAUCAUGCAUUCACACCUCAAUAAGAAAUAGCUAAAAGGAGCUUACAACAAAAAAGACAGCCGCUUAUUCUCAAAUUUCAGCACAUAUACUCAUCAAAAUUUAGAAUUUCACAUUGCAAACCCGAGCUCAGUGCUCAAGGGUUGCCAAUCAUGCUUUUUAUGCAAGAUCUAAUUAAGCUAAGAAGGUAUAAUGCUCAUUUUGUAUGGAAAGAAUUCUGAAAUUUUUUUUAAAUUUGGGCAAAAUUUGAACCCCGAAGUUUAGACUAAACAUGCAAGCUAAGCAAGCUAUUACCCACACCCACUCAAAAAAUUGCUUUGUCUGUCCUAAAAGCUUUUGAAAAUCAAAGUAAAUGGAGAAAAAUAAGGGGGAACUUUGGACUCCCCUAGAAGGAUCGACAUCCUUGACUUUGGUUUGAAGCUUGCAUGGAUAAACCUUUUCAUUCCUUUUUAAUUGAUUAUUCAUCCUUGUUCCUGAAAAUCAAAGGAAAUUCUCUCAAUUUUAUAUAUUACUAAAAUUAGGAUACAUAUAAGUCUUAACUAGUCUAAUAGCACCCUCCAUUCAUCUUCCCCUACACUGGCUAUGGUAUCAAAAUUUUCAAUUAAGUAAUACGUCUACUAACGAACUUGAAAACAAAACACAUCACACUAAAAAACACAAACAUCACUUUAACCCAACAGAAGCUGCUCUUUUUACCCUUGCACUCACUAUCACAUUACUAUCAUGUUUGUCAACUGUCAAACUAACUCUUUUAAGUUAUUUAGUGUGACUACAAAGUUAUGAACACCAUAAUCUUAAUUAAAACCUUUUAAUAAACAAAUGCCAAGUUACUACUCAACAAUGGCAAGGAAUUCAAAAAACAUGACUGUAACGACCCAACUUUUCUAGGUAAGUCGAAGUCAUUAAUUUCAAAUAAGGACCUGAGUUUACACAAAAUCUCAAUCUCAAACAAUUUCAAAGUCUCAAGAAAAACAAAAAUUAUAUACCUGGGCCCGGUUUAAAAUAACCAGCACCUUCAAGACAAAUUUACUAAUUCGUGAAUACAGUUCAACUAUAAAAUUUUCUAAACAAUCUCAAGUACUAAACAAAACACGUGAAACAAAACAUUUAGCGGAAGCAAUUUAAUAUAAUACCAAUGGCAAUCACGCUUCCUUUCUGCCCCUCGCCGGUUUGCCGUCUUUAUUACCUUUGCCUGAAAAUUAAACAUAAGGAGGGUGAGUAUAAAAAUACCCAGUACGAGACCCUCUACUGGUCCCGUCAGGGGAAAAUAAAUUGUUAACAUUCUAUUGGGACACCCUGUACAGUCACAGUCUUGUGAUCCCGUAGGAUGCACAUUUCAGUCUAACGCCCCGAGGGACGUACAUUUUCAGUCUAGUGUUCUGCAGAAACACAUAUCAGUCUAAUGCUCUUGAAGGUGCAGAAUAAUUGGUGAUCCGUGUGACACCUACAAGGCACACAUCCCAAUAAAAGCUAACAAUUUUUCCCCUCAGUCCAUUCUAAACAUCUUAACAGUCAUUCACAGAUCAGUUAAACAUUCUCAUCACGUAAACUCUUUAUUUAACCUCAAACAGUCGUCUUACUCUAAUUUAGUCCAAGGUCAAUAAAAAAACAUAUCAUUACAUCAGUUAACAAGCUAAACAAUCAUAACCUCCUCCUCAGUCACCAAGGGCACCACCAUGACGUUUCUUCCGUUCACAAGCACACAACAUAACAGUAGAUUAUACACUCAGUCUAGACAACAAUCAAUCUACUAAUCAAAUCCACACUUUAUAUAAGCAACAUCUACGAGAUUCAGUCGUUUCCACAUCCUUAUCUUUGUACACAUACAUAACCAGACAGUCACAACAUAUACUCAACCACAGUCUACAUCAAUCCAUGCACAUAUAUGUAUUAAUUUCUCCCAGUCAAACAUAGCAAACAUUAAACUUUAAGUCAAUGCCCAAACAUACAUCAUAACAGUCAUCUCUACUCAGUUCAAUAUCAAAUCAAUACAUCUUAAUUAGUCAUUAUAUCUUAAUUUUGUUGUUGAGUCUAGUAGAAAAUCCCUUACUUUCAAGUUAGUUAAGCUCCUUAACCACGUUGAAGUCUACGAAGAACGAACCUAAACAUUAAGACAAUUUCUCAAUAAUUCUCUUCAAGGCAUCAAUCAUUUAAAUUCAACCCAAUGUGAUUUUUUUUUUACAACUUACCCAAAUCUUCACAAAACGAGUUCCAACUAGAAUCAAUUGUUUGCUGCGAACCCAAUGAAUUCGAGUGUUACCUUCAACCUAUAAUCGAACAGUAAACGAUUUAUCCAACCAAUUAUUCCAGCAAUAUUACUUGAGUUUAUUUUGGAAACAGUUACAAAUUUCAUAACUUCAAUCUUACCAAUCAAAAUUUAAUGACUCGUGGCAAAGCAGGAACGACAGCGAACAACCCAAUCGAAUGGCGUGGGUUUGCUACCUGCGGCAGGACGAAGAAGGAACUCGACGCGCAGAAAGUUGGAUCUGGGGUCUUUAGUUCGGUUCACGGUAGCGAAUUAAAACCUGAUUGCGCGGACGUCAAAGGUGUUAUUCGCGGAAGAAGUCGAGCAGCAGCUUUGCGAAGAGACGACGUGCGACGGAGAGACUGUAUACAGACGGACGGAGAGUCGCGCGGCAGUGCAGAAAACGGAGGAGAAAGGAAUGGGCGGCGGCUGGGCUUGGCUUCGACGGAGACAGAGGCGAUUAGGACGGGGCACGGCGACGCAGAUCUGGACGACGGCGCGGAGACAGAGGUUGCGCGGCGCUGGGCAGAGGGUCAAACGGCGCUGGGCGAAGGGUCACACGGCGCUGGGCGGAAGGUCACACGGCGGCCUUGCUUCGCGCGAACAGAGAUGGCGGCCGACGGUUGCAGCGGCGGCUGGGUAUGGUAGAAAAGAAAGAGAAACGGAAGAAGAAUAGGGGCGGCGACCGUGGAUCGGAGAAGAAAAGAAGGAGGAAAGCGAUGGUGGUCGGUUGGAGGGUGCGGCUGGAGGUAGGGAUCGGUGAAGGAGAAAAUAGAAAAAGAAAAUGAAGGGGAAAUGGGGGUUGCGCGCGGGAGGAAGAAGAAAGGAAAAAAAAUUCUUUUUUUUUUUUUUUCUUUUAUUUAAAUUAAAUAAUAAAACUAAAAUAUAAAUAAAUAUAUAUAUAAUUAUAUUAUCACAUUUUCAAAUCUUCUUUCUCCCCCUUCAUCAUAUUUUCUUCAAAAAAAUAAAUCUUGUACAAAUCGAAUAAUUUUCUUUAAAAUAAAUUACCUUCGAGUUUGGGGCGUUACAAUGACAGCUAUAUUGUAACUUGGCACUUGGGGACUUUAAUGGUGUCAAUAUUGUAACUUCUGGUGCCAUGACAAAUAUUGGUGACUGUCAAGAUAAGUUCGCAUAGCCACCGAAAGAUACAUCGUUGCUUUUGAAGAAUGACAAGACUCUAAAUGAUAUAUGCAGCAUUAUUUUGGUUAUAUCCAAUCUUCUUUGAAGGCUAUGUACUUGAAGAUUUUAAUCAAUAAAUAAAAUGAAGUUUAAUUUUUAAAAUAAUAACAUUACAAUGGGAUGGCGAUUGGAAUUGAUUACUUUGGUUAAAAUUUAAGAUUAGAUUAAAAAAAUCAAUUAAUAGAUAAUUCCAUCCAAUCAAAAUAACUAAAUAAAAGACGAGAUUUGAAAAUAUAAUAUCCUAAUAGACACUAAUAGACUUAUAUUAAUAGAUAAUUUCCUGCCGAUGAAAAAUUACUAAAGUUGUACUAUAUUUUAUAAAUAUUUCAAAACAUUACAUAAACACUAAUUAAAGUUGGGUUUAGUAGCAAAAGGUUACAAAUUUAUUGACACCUUUUUUAGGAAAAAAAAUACCUUGACAUGAUGUAAACUAAAUUUGUAAUCAGCAUUGAAAUCUUUACUAUACUAAAUGGGCUCGUGGAGAAAAAAUUAUAUACAUCUAUUUUAUUCUUAAAUUGUCGAAAAAAAAUUAUAUUACCUUUUGUGAUCUAACGUAGUUGUGACUUUUAUAGUGUAAGUGUCCAUUUUAAUGUUUGGAAAGAUGAUUUUUCCAAUUUUUUAGUUUACAAAAUAAAGUUCUAUAUUUCAUAAAAUAAAACCUUAUGUUGAAUAUAUGUAACUAAUGUUGAUAGGAUGUGAUUGGUUGAUCUUCAAGAUACGAUGCAUUCUGUUUAGAGUGGAGAUGGUUGCACACACAUCAAAUUGGUGCAUUGAUUCCUCCAAAUUUACAUGUGAAAUGUAAAUGUAAAAGAAAAACAAAACAAACUCUUGCAGUUACACAUUAGGAAAAAAAAACGUCACGAAAUUCCAAAGUUCAAAGAAAACAAACAUACACAGGGAUUUAAUUGAUUCAAAGUAGUAACAAAUGGUGAAAAAAUGCAUAAUUUGUUGUGAUUUCACAUUAACAUGUUAGAAUAAAAAAUUAUCGUAUUCUAUAUAUUACAAUAUUGGAUCAAAUAUUAAUACAUUAAUUUAAUUAUUUAAUUACUACAUCAAUGAAUUUCUUUUUCUUUUUUAAAUAAUAAUUUUACCAUUAAUAUUAUAUAAUAUUUGUUUAUUAUAUGCUAAAGCAUAUUUAAAAAUUAAAUAGAAUUAAGAGAUUUCACGUGAAUUUAUGCACAUGUUUCAACUGAAAAGAUGGAAACAAUAGUCACAAAUUAUUUUUUCCUAAAACAAAACAUUCGUAACCAAAUCUAAAUAUGCACUUUCAUAACUAAGGACCAAAACUCAUAUUACGUAGAAUUGAGCAUGGUUUAAAUGAAAUUAUUAACAAAAUACUUACACUUUAAACCAGGUUUUUUGGCAACAUACAUAGUGAGAAAAUUCCAAAUUUACCCUCUUACUUGUAUCUUUUCAAUAAAAAGUGCAUCUUAGUUGUAAUUAUGUCAAAAUAAAAAUAAAAAAAUAACUCGUCAGUUAACGUGGUUAUUCAUUAAUUGAUUUGGGUGAACUUUCUGAAGAUAAAAAUAACAAAAACAAACAAACAAAAGACUAGAACAUGUUAUUUAAUUAUGUAAUUACAACUUCCCUUUCUCCUCCGUGAGAAAAAAAACCAUUUCUCUAAAUUUCAUCUAUAUAUGUGUAUUGAUCAAAUGACCCAUAUCAAUAAGGACACAAAAUUGGCAAAGAACAAAUAAAUUAAAAUGGACAAUAACUCUUGUUUCAUUACUUUCUCUCUCAUUGGAGUUCUUUUGUUCACCAUCAUUUCAAAUGUGGCAUCAUCUAACGACGUUGUUUCUACCAUCUGUUCAGAAAUCUCAAAUCCACAAUUUUGUUUAAGUGUGUUGAAAUCUGCAGGCACUACAGAUCUAAAAGGCUUGGCUGUAUACACCUUAAACCUUGCUCAUUCAAAUGCUGGCAAAUCUUUGAUCCUAGCCAACUCACUAGCAAAAGCCACCACCAAUCCUCAACUUAAGCAACGAUAUUCAUUUUGUGCUGAGAGCUAUGAUGAAGUUGUUGGUGACAUUGAAAAUGCUCAAAACGACUUGGCACUUGGGGACUUUAUUGGUGUCAUUAUUGCAACUACUGGUGCCAUGACAACUCUUGGUGAUCACUGUCAGAAUAAGCUCUUGCAGCCGCCGAAGGAUACAUCGUUGCUUUUAAAGAAUAGCAACACUCUAGAUGAUAUAUUUAGCAUUAUUAUGGUUAUAUCCGAUCAUCUUUGAGGGUUAUGUACUUGAACAUUUUGAUCAAUAAAUAAACUGAAGUUUAAUUUUUAAAAUAAUAUUACAAUGUGAUGGUGAUUGGAAUUGAUUACUUACUUUGAUUAAACUUGAGAAGAUAAAGAAAAUCAAUUAAUAGAAACGUUCACCGACACACAUUGUCAGCACGUCGGAGAAAGCCUAAACUUUUUUUCUUUUCUUUUACGUUCUGUUUUCUUUUCUUUGUUUGCCAUCAUCAUCGUCAUCUUCUUCUUCUUCUAGCUUCUUACGUUCUGUUUCAAUUGCAUACUUCUGUUAUUCUUGUAAUUUCUUCGUGGUUUUCUUUUUAACUUUGUGUUUCAGUGUGGAUUCAUAAACACAUUUUUCAGUGCUCUGGAUUCUGGAUCUGUUAUGAUUUGAAAGGGUACAGUGAAGUGAAAAGUUGAAAUGGAAAAGAAAAAAAAGAAGAAAAGAGGACACUUCUCGCGGUGGUGGCGGCAAAGACUGACGUCGACGACAACACAACUCUCCUCCUCUCCCUAUAUCUCGGCCGAUUUUGGGUUUAUUUUCGUUUUGCAUUCUGUUAUGUGUAGAAGGGAGAAUAAAUAGUGUGGACUUUCCCCGACAUCUUCGAAAACGUUGGGAAAUUUACCUUUUCGCCGACGUAUGUAGUACACACGUCGGAGAAAGUUUAAAUAAUAAAUUCAUUAUUUAAACUUUCCCCGACGUACUCCUGUCAUACGAGUCUAAAUUAAAUUUAAUGCGUUCUCCUUCGCGAUGUGUGUCAAGGUGACGUUGGAAAAAGUUUAAACACUAAUGCAAUUAUUUUAAAUCACAUAUGUUAUCGCUUAUAUGGCAUAAGAGUCUAUUAACGAUAGAAAUCUAUCUUGAUAGGUUUUGCUACAUUUACAAUUUUUAAAAAAUAUUCUUAUAUACUUAACUAUUAUUCCUAAAAUUGCUAACCCAUUAUACUUACCCUAAGUUAAAUGUAUAAUGUCAAAAGUAAGUUUACUACGAAGGUAAUCUAUGUGACCCUUUUAUCCUAACGUAGGAAGUUUGUUCCACUCCAUACCAUUAUUGAACUAAAAGGAUUAAGUGUGUAUUAAUAUGUUUAAACAAGUAUAAUUAUAGCAAAAUCUAUAAGUGAUAUAUUGAUAUUAGCAAUACAAUACGCGUCACAUAUGCAAACAUUUUGUGUCUAAUCGUUGUAUUUACAAUUAACUCCAUUAAAAUAUUACAAAUAGAAAUAGAACUCUUUAAUCUAUGUUCAGUUAGGAUCACAAACUACAAAAUGAAAGCAUGGAACAAAUUUAAUUUUUUUUUUCUUUAAAGGAAAUUUUGUGUGUAGCACAUUAUAUUUUUUUCUUUCCUUUAAAAAACAUUAUUGAUCUUAUGAUAUUUGACAUAUAUUAUAUUUUUUUAAGAAUGUAAAUAAUGUAAAUAAUGUGCCAAAUAAUUGAAAACAUGUUAUCCAAAACAGAGAAUGGUUAAGAAAUUGUUGACAUUUAGUCAAAUUAAUAAAUAAUUCAAAAUUGUGUUUGAUUUUUGAAUUUGAAAAGAUAGUAAAUUAGAAGUGUUUUGAAAUAGUAUUUACGAGAAGAUUUUUAAUUUUAAAUAGCAUUAUAGUAGCUAUGGAUGGUUAUAUAAUAGUCUACACAAUCUUUGUCACAAAUGAUUAAUUCGAUUUUUUAAAUCAAGUCUAAUGUUUUUUUUUUUUUUUUGCCUAUUUCUUACCAUAAUUUACAUUUUUUGUAAGUAUAAUGGUUGAAUGCAAAAAGAGAGCUGACUAGUAAGUGCAAAAAGAGAUCUCACAAGCUUCUGCAAAAGCUAAUCAAGCAACCCAAAUCAUAAACGAGGAGAAAAGUUGAUUGGUUAAGCUUUGUUGUAGUAAAGAAGUCAAAGUGAACAUGGAACGUUCUUCACUCUCAAAGAACAUCGCCAACAUAUAGAUUAUAUACUUUUUCUGGUAUUGACCCAAAAAACACAAUCCAAGUGUAUUUUUGGUGAGAUGCAUAGUUUAACUAAACCGUGUUAUUACAAAAUUUUUAAUUACUAGGAACUCCUAAUGAAACGAAUACAUUAUUUUUAUAAUUACGAGGUAAAAUGGAAACAUACAAACUACUAAAAAAGUUGCAAUUCGAUUAUUGGGAUUCAAUCUACUCUCCAUGAAUGUUCUUGAAAUGAGAGUUUUUAAGCAGCUACAACUUGCUUAUGUAUAAAAGCAAAACCCUUCUCAACGCCUACCUUCAGUUUUGGCUUUAGAGCUUCAAGUGAUUUUUGCCCCUACUCAGAUAAACCCUGAAGAUCAGAUGUUACAAAGGCUUCAAUUCCACAUGCAAAAAUCAUGUUCAUGAACCAAAAGCACCUUAAGCUUCUCUUCGAUAUCUUUGAGCUCACUGGAUAAAGAACUGAUUUCUAAAGCAAUCAUCUCUACCAUAUCCUCAUCGUUCCCACUGUCUUUUAAUAAGGUUGGCAUGAUAAUCACAACAAAGAAGAAGAAACUAAGAUCAAUUUAACAAAUUUUAUGUUGGGAAACUUUUUUAAGAACAACUACUUAUAAACCAACCUUAGCUUUGGCCUCACAUUCCUUGAAUUUUCUAAAAGUAGAUACCACCUGUCCGGGCAACCCACACCAACCAACCAAGAGUAAGUUAGUGUGAAAGACACUUAUUUAAUGAAGAAUAUGUAAAAGAGGUCAUUCCAACUGUUACACAUAAUAGUAUUGGAGGCAGAUAACCUUGCCAUACCUCAUCAAGUUCUGAUAUUGAUUGAGCUAGUUUUUGAUACUCUGUGGGGUUUGAGACAAUAUCUGGAUUGACCAGCUUAACCUAAAUAAUAAUAUCGAUAGUGAUUAUUGUGUAGGAAAAUAUUAAAGCUAUAACCAAAUCAAAAGCAUAAUUGGAAAUACAUCAAAGAUGUAAAUGCAAAUUUCAAAAGUGGAUCUACAGAAUGUAAGGGGAAGAAACUCAAAUAAAAUUACUUUAUUAGUUAUACGACUACUAUAGAGAUUCCAGAUACACCACAGUUCCACGUCCUCUUUCAGGAGGAAAGCAAUGGUUAAAAAUUAAUUGUGAAAACUAAAGAAGGUCCUGUUCAAAUCCUAACAGCAAUAGGAAAGCAAGGAGUUAUAAGGUGAUCACUAUAGCCAAAUCCAAAAUGCAUUCAAUAUUUGUCUUCCAAUUUCAUUAUCAAGUGCAUAGGCAAGGUCCCUAGUGAGGAAGUUAUUCGUUCUUUUCUUCAUUUUCUAUAGCUCUAGAAGUAGCUAAAUGGAAUCGUCAAGCACCUAAUCUAUUAAUUUUAAAACUCAAAAGUUCACCGCGGGAUUCUAGUCACUGCUGAAACAACAUAGAGUUCACUAGUUCCACAGUUAAAUUAAUUGCAAAUUGCAUUUCCUGGCAUUUUCAAGAAAAAAAAAAUGCACAAAUCAUAAUAUGAUGAAGUAGAAAAAUUUUGUGAGCUCGACUUUUCCAGGACAUAUCUUAGCUACUUCUCCUAUUCCAGCUCGAUAACCAUUGUACUUUAACAAUUGAAACAUUAAUCCAAUAGUUAACAAUGUUCUGCACUUUAUGCCCUUACAUUUCCAACAACUUGAUGCAUACAUCAGUAGUUAACACAGGCACGAGCUCUUAAAUUCAAUGCAAAAUAACAGUCCCAUUCCAAGCAUAGACACCAAAUACAAACAAUUGAUGGACUUGAAUCAGUGAAGAAAUAAGAAUGUCAUUUAACAGCAAAGCACAAAUUACCGAUAAUUUUUUCCACGUCUUCUCAGCAGAUUCCAAUUUCACGAUCAAAUAAGGUUCCUAAAAUAAAGCAAUCACCAUCAUCAUUUUCCACAAAUAUGAUUCGAACUAGUUUUACCACAAAUUAAUUUCUAGUAACUUGAAGAAAAACUCAGUGAACUCAAAGCAUAACGAAACUCAAGUUCUGUUAAAGCCAAUCCGAACAAUAAGAUAUAGACAUAUUGUGUUCUCGAAAGAAAAACAUUCAAUAAAUCUAACAGCCAUGCAAAUUAGAGUUGAAGCUCUAAAGGGAGGUGCAAAGCAUUUAAGUUCCAGAGAGCAUCUUCUGAAGGCGAUGAGCCCAUAAGAUGAAAAAAAGGCCUCAAGUGAGGAAGAAAGACGCCAUCCAAACAUGAAAAAAGGAAGAAAGGCAAGAUUUUGGUAGCUCCAGACCUGAGGGAAGCCAACAAGGUGGCGAGGGAGGCAAGGCCCCAAAGUUUAGCAUUGCCAGCAAAGUGAAGGUAGAGAAGGACCUUUCCUUUCGACGUGGCCCUCCGAGAGUUUAUGGACGCCCCAAUUGGGGCGUUUGGAUGGAGUAAGUUCUUCAAGGGACUUCCAAGAUUCGAUGGAGGUUGUCAAGAAAUUCUACGCAUCAGAUUACAACCACUACAAGGAAUUUCAGAUCAACCAACACAAUUUAACACUAUUGGGAGAAUCCACGAAUUCUUGGUCAAGUAGAAGAACCUCCAUGUGGAAGAAACAAAUUGUGAACGUGUCGAAGACCUUGAAGUGUGGAAAUGGAAGAUCAAAGAGUUCCAGCUUCGCCAGUCGACAGGGACGUCAACUGUUUAAGUAGGGGAGAAUGUCAAGAGCAUGCUUGUCCAAGGCAUUGUUUGCCCAUGGCCGCAUGGCCGAACAUCCUCAAACCGCCUUAUAUUUAUGUCUUAUACUUAGUUUAGCCAUUUUGUUUCCUUUUGUUGUCGCCGACCUAGGGUGUGACGUUUCAAAAUUUUCAUAUGCAAGUCUGUCAUAGCUAAAAAUGUUUAAAAUGUACUAUAGGGAAGACAUAGUAGUUGAAUCCCUGACCAAGCCUUGUUGCACUCUUUGCAUUCUAAUCUUUCUUUGCAAUUAACAGUCUUCAAUGCUUUCUUUAACGAUGUUUUCAAUUCUUUUCUUCUCUUCUUGUCUUAUAAAAAUAAAUUUCUCUCAAAACAUGAAAGAGGCUAUACCGUACUGCGUGCUUUUUGCGACUUCUGGAUUUCAUACAGCUUACUUGUUCACCGAGCUAGAACAAACGUCGCAUAAUCACCAUCCCCUAUUUGAAAAUUUACGAUUAUGACAGCAUGCGGUGAGGUGCACGCGGCAUGUGUGGGCCCAAGCCAAGCAUGCAACUGGCAUUCUGAUACUCUAUGCACGUGCAUGCUGCCUGCGCCCAUGCCGUGCAGCCAGCAUUGUCAUGACGUAGUUUUUGGGAUGUUUGGUGUUUUGGGAAAUUUUGAGCAAAUUCUGGAUGUUCGAGCAUGCGGAUGUUCUAUGCAAUGCAACCAGCAGCCCAUAUGUUCUAUGUUCUCUUUACGGUCGUAUGUGCACAUUUGGUUAACUCUACUACUAAUGGGAAAGUUGACGAGCCUAUGCUGAAUUCAUCAGGAAAGGUGUACUUUGUUGAGCCCAUUGAGGAGAAGGAUACCUUCUUUUUUCGAAGAGGUGUUUCAAUGCCUAGGCCGUCUUUUGACAAUGAGGUGUUAAUAUUACCUAGACUUCAUGCUAAGAACGGGUUGUGAAUUUAUAAUCAAGAAUGCAGUUCGAGUAUCAUGUCUUUCAAAUGAUUUCCAACAGCUUGAAUGUUUCUAUAAGACAAGAAUUUAUGCUUAACUGUUUUAGAAAGCAUGUUUUAUAAAAAUUGUCACUCACUAAGUCUUUCGACUUAUCCUUUCAAAUCAUUUCUCACUUUUCAGGUAUGGAUUAUGCAUUCCCUAAUGUUAAGCGUAUUGCUGCUGAGCCAACCAGUUACUAGAAAUUGUUAAGUCAUUUUGAAAGUUAGUUUUGACUUUGUAAGAAAAGUUCAGGAUGAGCAUGUCUAUGUUUAUUGUUAAAGUUCCAAUGUUAUAAGUUAGUUUAGUAAAAAGGUCACUGUCAUGUUUAAAGCUUCUGCUGAUGUAUCACAAUAGUUGUAACUAGUGGUUUAAGUUAUUAGUAAAAGCAUGUAGCUUGUAUCGCUGUUUGUUUUGAGCAUGCAUUCAUGUUGUAACUGGUAGUUAAGUUAGAAAGGUUAGUCGGUUGGUAAGUUUUGCCAAGGUAUGGCAAUCCUUGCCAACCCUCGCACCUUCUUUCAGAGCUAGAUGUUGUUCAGAAAAUAAGGAGCUUUGGGAGGGGGUGGUGACAACAACACCAUCCCACUAGAGUACGCAAUGAUGCAUUAUUGUUUAAUUAAGUCAUAUAUACUUCCACAAUUUGGAUAGGAAUUUAACUCAUUAGAAGGUGUCCUAUAGAAUUUCUCAGUGAAAAGUUCAGAGAAGCUACAAACAAAUGUCACUACCGAACAACAAUCAUAUACAUGGGUUAGGGCUUUGAGCAGUGUGAACACAACUUAAUAAUAAAUAUGAAGUCGUCCUCUUUUCAUCAUUAGUCAGAAGAAUUCUUAAACUUUCUAAAAAUAAUUGUCAAAUAAUUGAUUAUAUAGUAUGCCAUUUAUUUGGAAUACAAUUUUUUCAUUACCAGGAAAGGAGACUUCUCACUAAGUAAAUGUAAAGAGACUAAUGCUAUAAUUUGAAUUGGAAAAUAUAAUUUCAUAAUUAAGCAUCGAAUAGGGACUAGUUAAGAAGUACACACUUUAGUUUGCCAGAGUCCAUGUUCUACACAUGUUAGCCACUCUGUCAUUGGUUUAGCAGUAAAACAAAGGAUGUGUUUAGGAUGUGAGCCACACAAAAGGGAAAGAAAACAGAAGGCGCAGUGAGCCACACAAAAGGGAUCGAAACGAAUGUUCAGAAAUAUCGGAAGGAUCGAAGAAAUAUGGAAGGAAAGACGAGGAAAAAACAACAGACCGGAGCAAGUUCAAGAAGGUAGAGAUCCCGAUCUUCAAUGGAAUAGACCCCGAUUCAUGGUUAUUUCGCGCCGAUCGUUAUUUCAAGAUACACAAGUUGACUGACUCAGAGAAGUUAAUGGUAGCGGUAAUCAGUUAUUAGGACCAGCUUUGGAUUGGUAUAGAUCAAUUGAUGAAUUGGAACAAUUCAAGAGUUGGGAAGAUUUGAAGCAAAGGUUGUUGUCCGAUUUCAGACGAUUCGGGAUGGAACACUCGUAGGCAGAUUCUUAAGGAUUAAGCAGGAAACGACAGUAGGGGAAUAUAGAAACAGUUUCGAUAAAUAUUUAGCUCCGGUAGCCUUCCUCCAGACCAUAGUAUUAGAAGAAACCUUUAUGAAUGGGCUAAGCCCAUGGCAUAAAUCCGAAGUUGAAACGCUGGAGCCCAUAGGUUUGGCCAAGAUGAUGUAACUAGCCCUGAAAUUGAAAAUAGAGAGAUGGUUCGUCGAGAAUGUGGGCUUAGUAGUGUUUCGGGAAUGAAUCAACAAUUCAAGCAUAAUAACGUAAAGCAAACCUCGACAGUAACACCCAAUCAGAAACCCACGGAAGGGAGCUGGCCAAUGAGAACGAUUACGUUAAAAAGAGUGACGGCAGAUGAAAAGAGGAGGGAAGGUCCGACCAAGCGUCUUUCCAACGCUGAAUUUCAAGCACGAGGGAAAACGGUCUGUGUUUUCAGUGUGAGGAGAAGUAUCACGCUGGACAUAGGCGUAAGGUGAAGGAACAGAAGGAAUUACGGAUGUUAGUAGUAAAGGAAAUGGGAGAAGAACUGGAAAUCAUUGAGGAUGAACACUUUGAUGUGGAAACGGAGGCCCAGACCAUUGAAAUUGAAAAAGUGGAGAAUAUGAAUAUAGAGCUGUCCAUUAACUCAAUUGUGGGGUUAUCCAACCCUGGAACCAUGAAACUGAAAGGGAAGAUAAAAGAGACCAAAGUGGUAAUAAUCAUCGACAGUGGAGCCACCCACAGUUUUAUUGCAAAAAAUUUUGUAACCACCCUUAGCCUACCAAUGACAGAAACGUCCAACUAUGGAGUGAUUUUGGGAUCAGGGGUUGCGGUCAAAGGAAAAGGAAUCCGCAGUAAUGUUGAAGUGACGGUAGGAGAGUGGAAAAUUACAAACAACUUUUUACCCUUGGAAUUAGGGGUGGUUGCACUCAUUGGGCAUGACUGAAUUUGAUAUGAAAAAUUUGGUGAUGACAUUCCGACAUGGAGGAAGGAAGAUAGAGAUAAAGGGGGACCCUAGUGUCACCAAAACCCAAGUGAGCCUAAAGUCUAUAAUUAAGACAUGGGGAGCUGAUAAUCACGGUUAUUUGGUAGAAUGUCGGGCCAUGGAGGGAAGGCUAGCUGAGGAAGGCUUAGAGGAUGAAGAAGUGCCAGCCACUGUUGACAACAUGAUCUCUCCUCUGUUGAGCAAAUUUAAUGAUGUUUUUGAUUGGUUGGAAGAGCUGCCUUCGAAGAGGAACAUUGAGCACCAUAUACCCCUUCAGAAGGGGGUGGAUCCAGUUAAUGUCAGACCUUAUCGUUACGCACAUCGGCAAAAGGAGGAAAUUGAAAGACUAGUUGAUGAAAUGUUGAAGACAGGCAUCAUAUGACCGGGUACCAGUCUGUAUUCCAGCCCAGUCCUUCUCGUGAAAAAGAAAGAUGAUAGCUGGCAAUUUUGUGUAGAUUAUCGGGAGUUGAACAAUGUCACUAUCCCAGAUAAGUUCCCAAUUCCGGUCAUAGAUGAGUUAUUCAAUGAGCUGAAUGGGGCCAACAUGUUUUCGAAGAUUUAUUUAAAGGCGGGUUAUCACCAAAUCAGGAUGCAUCUGAGAGGUGUAGAGAAGACGGCCUUUCGAACACAUGAGGGACACUAUGAGUUCUUGGUCAUGCCGUUUGAGCUAACCAAUGCCCCCUCUACGUUCCAAGCAUUAAUGAACCACAUCUUUAAGCCUUAUAUGAGAAGAUUCGUAUUAGUGUUUUUCGAUGACAUUUUGGUGUACAACAGGGGAGUAGAAGAACAUGGACAGCAUCUGGAAGUAGUCUUGGAGAUCCUUCGAGAGAAUGAAUUGUAUGUGAAUUUAGCCAAAUGUUGCUUUGCCAAAAGUAGAAUAGGUUAUUUGGGGCAUUUCAUAUCCGAAAAGGGAGCUAAAGUUGAUCCAGAAAAAAUAAGGGCAAUUAGGGAAUGGUCGAUUCCCACUAGUGUGCGAGAAGUUCGAGGUUUCUUAGGACUCAAUUGAUACUAUAGGAAGUUUGGGCAGAAUUAUGGCAGUAUCGAAAGCCCUUUGACACAGCUUUUGAAGACAGGAACUCAUUGUUGGACUGAAGAAGCAAGUGCUGCCUUUGAGAAGUUGAAGAUGGCAAUGAUGAUUCUACCGACAUUAGCUAUGCUGGACUUUAAUCUACCACUCGAGAUAGAAACAUAUGUAUCUUGUUUUGGUGUGGGGCCGUUUUAGUACAAGCCAAGAGACAAAUAUCCUUCUUUAGUAAAACCUUAUGCAUGUGGGAUAGAGCGCGACUGGUUUAUGAAAGAGAAUUGAUAAUAGUAGUGUUUGCGGUGCAAAGGUGGAGACCAUAUUUGUUAGGGAAGAAAUUUACAGUGAAAACUGAUCAGAAGUCGCUCAAAUUUCGGCUAGAACAAAGGGUGAUUCAACCCUAAUACCAAAAAUGGAUAGCCAAUCUUUUGGGAUAUUCAUUUGAGGUAGUCUGCAAUCCUGGAUUGGAGAAUAAGGCAGCCGAUGCUCUAUCUAGAACACCCCGUAUAGUGCACUUAAAUCAAAUAUCAGCCCCAACACUACUCGAUUUAGUGGUGAGUCAAGAAGAGGAAAAGAGGGAUCAAUACCUACAGGAAAUCCAGAAGAAAAUAGAAAGAACAAAAAGUGAAAGUUCCAAACUUUUCAGUACAGCAAGGGGUAUUGAAAUACAAAGGAAGGUUGGUGAUGUCAAAAACAUCCGUUCUACUACCCACUAUCAUGCAUACCUAUCAUGAUUUUGUCUUUGGAGGACAUUCAGGGUUCCUAAGAACGUACAAGAGGAUGACCGCGAGAGAUUUACUAGGAAGGAAUGAAGAAAAACAUAAAGAAAUACUAUGAAGAAUGUCUUGUAUGCCAAAGGAAUAAAACACUUGCAUUAUUACCUGCUGGAUUGCUGCUGCCACUUGAGAUUCCUAACACAGUGUGGUCGGAUAUUUCCAUGGAUUUUAUAGAUGGACUUCCAAAAUCAGCUGGAAAAGAAGUGAUUUUUGUGGUUGUAGAUUGUCUGAGUAAGUAUGCACAUUUUACAGCUAUAAAUCAUUCUUACAUGGCCAGCUUCGUAGCAGAAGUUUUUGUUAAAGAAGUGGUGAGAUUGCACGGGUAUCCGCAGUAAGUUGUAUCGGAUCAAGACAAAAUCUUUAUUAGUCAUUUCUGGAAGGAAAUGUUCAAGUUAGUGGGAACUAAAAUAAAUAGAAGGAAAUGUUCAGGUUAGUGGGAACUAUGCCCAUAUACACCAAGUUCGAAUAUAGAACUUGCUUCUUACUGAAAAAAUAAUGAUUAUGGGACUUGCUAUAAGGGUAUCCAAUACUCGAAGUAAAUGAAUGAUUACAAAAUGAUUGUUUCCUCAGUUUGAAGAAGAACAACAAAAAAGAAAAGAAGGAUAAAAAUAAAAAAAAAAAACAAACUUUCUUUUUGAAAUUCUAAAAGAAUCCAAAAAGACUUCAAAAGGUGCAACCAAGAAAGGAGGUCAAAGAAGGGCUCUGAUAGACCCCCCUAUCAUACGUCAAUAUAGUCGAAAAAAAAAGAGAGAGAUCACAAGGGAACACACAUGCGAAGAAGAAAAGAUUUAAAGGACUGUUAGAAGAAAAGAUUUAAAAAGCUUGUUGGGCGUCGGUUAGAUUUGAGGAGAUUUAGGAGGGUCGUUAGGUGUUGAUUAGAAUAAAUAAGGAUAGGGAGGAAAGAGGAGGGUAUGCUGAGUUUAGAAGAAAAUUGACUCAUGCUCUUCCUUGAGCGAUAGGAUAGCAGAGAGGGAAUUAGAUUGUUUUUCGAAUUGAGUCCUCCUCAAUUUGAGUGUUCUGAUAUUUUGAUUUUCCUUGUAACUCAUUCUUUGAUUGAAGCAAUAAAAGUUCUAAUUGGAUUUCCAAAAGAGUUCUAUCAAAUUGGUAUCAGAGACAGUUUUUUCUGACCAAGAGGAAAAUGAUGGUCCAAACACGAAUGAAGGAGAGAAUGGAGGCGCACGACCAGGAGAUGCAUUUGAUGAGAAGCGAGAUAAGCAAAAUUUCGACAAUGAAAGAAAUAUUAGCCACGAUCAGCGUACAGACAAAGAAGACUCACAAAAUGUUGAUAAUGUUCAUGGAAUCGAUUACCAGAGAGCAUAUCGUUAUGAGUGAGAAAAUGGUCGAGUCGAGUGUGCGAGAGACAGUAUCAACAAUAACGAAUAAGAAGGAAGACUCGAUCGAAAAGGGCCAUGAGCACGAAACAAAGGAUGGAAAGAUAGAAGGAGAAGACGGAGCGAACGAGCAUAAUAAGUUCAAGAAGGUUGAGAUGCCAGUUUUCAACACGGAAAAUCCCAAUUUUUGACCCUUUCGAGCAGAUAGAUAUUUUCAGAUACACAAAUUGACUGAUGCUGAGAAGGUCCUGGUUGCGACCAUUAGUUUUGAAGGCCCGACGCUGAACUAGUAUAGGGCGCAAGAAGCACACGACAAGUUUACCAGUUGGUCGAACCUCAAGGAGAGAAUACUCAUCCGUUUUCAAUCAGCAAAAGAGGGGUCCAUAUGCGGACAAUUUUUUAGGAUCGGAUAACAGACGACAGUAGAAGAAUAUCGAAACCAGUUAUAUAAGCUGAUGGAACCGUUAUCCGAUCUACAAGACAGAGUGGUGGAGGAAACAUUCAUGAACGGUUUACUGCCGUGGAUUAAAGCAGAAGUGGAUUUUUGUCGUCCGGUCGACGUGGCUCAAAUGGUGCACGCGGCUCAACUCGUAGAAAAUCGAGAGAUAAUUCACAAUGAGGCCAACCUUAAGGGGUACGCCCAAGGAAAAUAUCCGCCUCAAGGUUCUAGGCAAAAUACGAGUGCUGCGACGGUGAACGAUAGCGACAAUAAGAGAAAUACAUUAUUUUCGAUGAGAACGAUUACUCUGAGAACGACAUCCAGAGAAGUUAAGAGAGGGGCAGGCAAAGCGAUUGUUAGACGCGGAGUUUCAAGUCAGGAAGGAAAAAGGACAUUGUUUCCGUUGUAAUGAGAUAUAUUAUCAUGAUCAUCGAUGCAAAAACAGAGGGCAAAGAGAGUUGAGAAUGUACGUGGUCAGGGCGAAUGAUGAAGAAUUUGAAAUCAUAGAAGAAGUGGGAGAAAAUGAAUUGUUUGGAAAUCACAUAAGAAGAUCAUGUUGUCAUCGAACUGUCAAUUAAUUCGGUGGUGGGGCUGAACAAUCCGAGGACAAUGAAGGUGAGGGGGAAUAUCAGUGAGCGAGAAGUUUUCAUUUUCAUUGAUUGUGGAGCAACGCACAACUUCAUCUCCGAAAAGAUAGUAAAGGAGUUACAACUGGCCACGAAGGCAACGUCGCACUAUGGUGUAAUCUUGGGCUCGGGGGAGGCGAUAAAAGGUAAAGGAGUAUGUGAGGACGUGGAAAUCAAGUUGAACGGGUGGAAGGUGGUGGAAAAUUUGUUACCCUUAGAAUUGAGAGGGGUAGAUGUUGUGUUAGGAAUGCAGUAGUUGUAUUCAUUGGGCAUGACGGAAGUAGAUUGGAGGAACCUCACAAUGACUUUUGUGCAACAAGGAGAAAAGGUAGUGAUAAGAGGAGACCCAAGUUUGACCAAAUCCAGAGUGAGUCUCAAGAACAUGAUCAAAAGGUGGAAGGAUUCGUGAUCGAGUGCCGAGCAAUGGAGAGAGUCUUUGAGCCACAGGAAGAUAACGGGAUUGAAGAAGUAUUAACUACUGAUGAAGCAUAUCGGUCGUGUUGAAGAAUUUUGAAGAUGUUUCUAAUUGGCCGAAGACACUACCCCCGCAAAGAAAUAUUGAACAUCACAUUCAUUUGAAACAGGGCACUGAUCUGGUAAAUGUUCGACCCUAUAGAUACGCUUAUCAACAGAAAGCUGAGAUGGACAAACUUGUGGAUGAGAUGUUGACAGCGGAAUUAUCCGUCCCAGCAACAGUCCAUAUCUAGUCCAGUUCUAUUGGUAAUGAAAAAAGAUGGCAGCUGGCGUUUUUGCGUAGACUACCAAGCGCUGAACAAUGUAACCAUUCCAGACAAAUUCCCUAUUCCGGUGGUUAAGGAGCUUUUCGAUGAAUUAAAUGAAGCAAACUGGUUUUCAAAGAUUGAUUUGAAGGUGGGGUACCAUCAGAUCAAAAUGUGUGGAGAAGACAUCGAAAAAGCAGCAUUCCGAACACAUGAUGGACACUAUGAAUUUAUGGUUAUGCCAUUCGGCUUAACUAAUGCCACAUCCACUUUCCAAGCUCUGAUGAACUCAACAUUCAAACCAUUUUUGCAGAAGUUCAUAUUAGUGUUUUUCGACGACAUACUAAUCUACAGUGAGAACUUGGAACACCAUUUGAAGCACAUUGGGUUAGCAUUGGAAAUCCUGAGAAAGAAUGAGUUAUAUGCAAACAAGAAGAAGUGCAGCUUCGCACAAGAACGUAUUGAUUAUUUGGGUCAUAUCAUUUCAAGACAAGGAGUUGAAGUGGACCUUGAGAAAAUCAGAGCAAUCACGGAAUGGCCUAUACCCAGUAAUAUAAGAGAGGUACGGGGAUUCCUAGGCCUCACCUGUAACUAAAGAAAGUUCGUUCAGCACUAUGGCUCCAUUGCCGCACCAUUGAUUCAACUACUUAGGAAAGGGGGAUUCCAGUGGACUGAGGAGUCUAAGGAGGCAUUCCAACAACUACAAAAUGCGAUGAUGACCCUGCCCGUUUUGGCGUUGAAAAAAUUUCAAUGCCACAUUUGAAAUGGAAACCGAUGCAUCGGGAUAUGGGGUAGGAGUCGUACUCGUCCAAGCCAAGCGUCCCAUAGCAUACUUUAGUCAUACGUUAGCCUCAAGAGAUAGAGCCAAGCCUGUACAUAAAAGGGAAUUAAUGGCAGUGGUCUUGCAUGUGCAACGAUGGCGACCAUAUCUGUUGGGGAGAAAAUUUAUUGUGAAGACCGAUCAGAAAUCCUUGAAGUUCUUGUUAGAACAAAGAGUGAUACAGCUUCAGUAUCAGAAAUGGGUAGCGAAGCUAACGGGAUACUCAUUUGAGGUGGUCUACAAACUCAGCUUGGAGAAUAAAGCAGUAGACGCCUUGUCUUGGAUGCCUCCUACAAUUAACCUCGGUAGCAUAACAGCUCCUACAUUGGUUGACAUUCUGGUGACUAAAAAGGAAGUCAAAGCGUAUGAAAAAUUAAGCAAAAUAAUGGAAGAACUACAAGCAAUGGAAGAAGUAACAGAGGGUAAAUUCUCCAUCCGACAAGGUAUGUUAAGAUAUAAGGAUAAGUUUGUGUUGUCCAAAACAUCUACAUUGAUACCCACAAUCCUACAUACUUACCAUGAUUUGGUACUUGUGAGGAAUGUGUAAUAUGUCAGAAGAACAAGUCCCUAGUGUAACGAGCAUACUUGUCCAAGGUGUGUUUACCUAUGGCCGUAUGCUCCGAUUAGCCCCAAUUUACCUUGUCUUUAUGUCUUGCACGUAGCUUAGGUAGUUGCUUUCAAUUUCAAGUCGAUAUGCUUGGGUGUGACGUUUCGGCAUUUUCAUAUGUUAAAAAUGUACUAUAGGGGAGGCAUACCUGUUGAAUCCCUGCCCAAGCCUUGUCGUACUCUUUGCAGUCUAUGCUUUCUUAUUGCAAUUGACAGUCUUCAAUGCUUGUUUUAACAACGUUUUCAAUCAAUUUAAUCAUCUUUCAUGUUUUCUAAAACUAUUUUUCCAAGAACGUGAGGGGAGGUUGAAGUAUGUGUUAAAGUUGUCUGCGAUUUGCAGAUUUUGAUCGGCUGACUUGUUCGCCGAGCUAGAACAAGUGCCGCACAAUCGUUCACAUCGUGUUUGAAGGGUUACACAGUAAAGGAAGAGUAAGAAUUUGAGUGGAGAAACUCCAAAUUGGGAUCAACACGUGGGCAACAACAUGGCUUCUCACCAACAUGAGAACUCCAAAGAGACCAGCAGAUAUUCUAGAGAAGCCAAUGAACUCUUGGGAUGUGAAUCUGCACUUUCCUGCAAUAGUUUGAGUGUGAAUUAGUUCUCUGAAAACACCUGCAGAGGAUAAUCCACGGCAAAACAGAAUAACUAUAAAAAAACCACUUGCAAGUAGAAGAAAAAGGAAGUACAUUUAUACCUUCCCUGUCAAAGUGAUAUCCCUCAUCAACGGAUAUGCAUUUCUUUCCAGGAAGUAGCCAACAAUUUUACAAACCCAUGGGAGUUUAGGUUGUAAUAAGAAAACAAUUGUGUCCAACAAUAGAGUUGCAGGUGUGUUAGAGUUCACAGGUGCAGCCAAAAGUUGAUUCCUCAAUUGGUUUCUAUCAAGAACAACAUCAAGUAAGAAUAAUUCGGAGGAAAAAUAAAGGCAACUUAUCAUAUAUAUAAAUAUGAUUAGUCUGAAUUCGUUUGCGGAAGGUAAAAAAACCUUUAUGUCAAUUAUAUAUAUCUGAACAAAAUCUAAGAAAUAUAUCACUUUUCAACAAAAGAAAUAUAUCAUAUACAAUUAAAGGAUCAUAGCAUAGAAAGCCAACAAAAUCAACAAUGAUAGAUCAAACAUCUGUUUUUCCAUUCAAAACGUUAAAAAGGAUAAGUUUUUAAUAAGGAAUGUUGAAAUGGAAAAAACUAAUUACCUAUUAUGGUGUACAAUCUGGAUGCAAGCAUAUGCAAAUUUCUUAACUCUGUAAUCCACUAAGGCCUUGUUAAGUACAUAAUCCUUGCUAGCGAAAAUGCUCAACAUAUCCCCUAUAUAUGUAAGAGAGAGAAAGGUUAGAAAGUACUAACACUAAGAGAUAUGUGCUAUCAAUUAGAAACACUUUAAGAUGACAUUAUCAAUUAGAAAACCAAGUAUUAAGCAACAUAAGGGAAAAUAACAAACAAGGGCACCACAGUGGUUCAGAAACCAAUCAAUAUUUCCAUUUGUCACUUUUAUAAUAAUUUCCCAAGGGAAAAUCCUCAUAAUAAGCUUGAGUACCACCUAAUAACGUGUUCAAAUGUUACCAUAAGCAAAAAUGAGUGAUCCUAAAAUUCAUAUGACAAGGAAAGUCGUCAACUAGCAACCGCCAAAUAACAGUUAUAUGGCUAGAAUUAGUUUUCUCCAACUUCAAGAAAAUAAAACAUAUUAAAACAAAAGGAAUUAUGGUGCAAAAUAAUGAAUAUGCUGCAAAGGUAAGAAGUUUCUGAAGGUAAAAAUGGUCAAUAAAAAACAACAUAUAAUUUGACGUAAAUCAAAGUAGAAUUAUUUCUCGCAAUGAAUUCUCUGCCAAUAAUGGCUAAGAGAAGGGGUAUUUAUUGAGAAUUAGUUGGCCAGGCAGAAAUCAUCUAGGGCAUAGUAUUGUUUUAGGUCUGCGACAUUAAAAACAUAAUGAAUGUGUAAGUCUGGUGGUAGUUCUAUUUUGUAAGCAUUAUCUCCGAUCCUCUUUAGGACACGGAAUGGUCCUAAUUGUCUGUCUUUUAGUUUGUUGUAUGUUUCGGUUGGAAAUCGAUUUUUUCUUAGGUGAAUCAUUACUAAAUCUCCCUUGGUAAAGGUAGUUUGUCUUCUUUUUCUGUCUGUUGCGUCUUUGUAGGACUGAGUUGUUUCUUUUAGGUGAUUGUGGACUUCUUCGUGUAAAUUCUGGAUUUUUUCUAUCAUCUUUUCUGCCUCUGAUAGUUAGGGAACUCAACACAUUUUACUUGACCUAACCAAGAUGGCUCUUUGUAUGUAUAUUGCAUGUGUUGUUUGUUUUUUUCUAUAGCUCUUGAUUGUCUCACUUUUUUACGUUUUGCAUUUGCAAUUCUCUUUUCUUUCUUUGGUAUGCAAUGUGGUAACAAGGUCUUGCUAGAACCGGUGGGCUAACCUUUCUAUGGUUCUAAACUUAGUUUCUAAGUUUGACUGGCUCCCUUCGGAGUGACAACAAGCCUCGUUUUCCCCUACUAUGGAACGGGGAGGAUUCAUUUUCUUUUCAAAGCCCUCGUCAAACUCAAUGCUAAGUUUGACUGCUCCCUUCGGAGUGACAACAAGCCUUGUUUUCCCCUAAUGUGGAUCGGGGAGGAUUCCUUCUCUUUUCAAAGCCCUCAUCAAACUCGAUGUUGUGUUUAGAACGCUAAGAGUAGGUGGUCUGGUUUUGGUUAGGCCAAAAGUGAAGUUUUCCCCCAUUUUUUAUGGGCUUUUUCUAAUGUAUAUUGGAUAUGUUGUUUGAUUUUUUUUAUAGCUCUUGAUUGUCUUACUGUUUUAUGUUUUGCAUUGUCAAGUCUCUGUUUUCUUUCUUUGGUAUGCAAUGUGGUAACUAGGUCUUGCUAGAACCGGUAGGCUAACCUUUCUAUGGUUCUACAUUUAGUUCCUAAUUAAGUUUGAUUGCUCCCUUCGGAGUGACAAUAAGUUUUGUUAAUGUCGACCCUUUUCUAAAGGGAUUUAGUUCACUGUGGCUAGGCAAGAGGUUUCUAACUCAUGUUUGACAAGACAAAUUUGUUAAAACCAUCUUAGUUUCUAAAGAGUGCCUCCUAUCCCUUUUUUACUCUAUCUAGGCUAGGUUUGGACUAAGUGCAUCAUAGGUAAGUCACGACAAAGCAACAAAGGAAGACAAAGCUAGAAAAGUAUUCAUGCACUUAUUUAUUAUACAUGCAAUCAAGCAUUCACAACAUACAUACCAUUUUCUCAAUCAUGCAUUCACACCUCAAUAAGAAAUAGCUAAAAGGAGCUUACAACAAAAAAGACAGCCGCUUAUUCUCAAAUUUCAGCACAUAUACUCAUCAAAAUUUAGAAUUUCACAUUGCAAACCCGAGCUCAGUGCUCAAGGGUUGCCAAUCAUGCUUUUUAUGCAAGAUCUAAUUAAGCUAAGAAGGUAUAAUGCUCAUUUUGUAUGGAAAGAAUUCUGAAAUUUUUUUUAAAUUUGGGCAAAAUUUGAACCCCGAAGUUUAGACUAAACAUGCAAGCUAAGCAAGCUAUUACCCACACCCACUCAAAAAAUUGCUUUGUCUGUCCUAAAAGCUUUUGAAAAUCAAAGUAAAUGGAGAAAAAUAAGGGGGAACUUUGGACUCCCCUAGAAGGAUCGACAUCCUUGACUUUGGUUUGAAGCUUGCAUGGAUAAACCUUUUCAUUCCUUUUUAAUUGAUUAUUCAUCCUUGUUCCUGAAAAUCAAAGGAAAUUCUCUCAAUUUUAUAUAUUACUAAAAUUAGGAUACAUAUAAGUCUUAACUAGUCUAAUAGCACCCUCCAUUCAUCUUCCCCUACACUGGCUAUGGUAUCAAAAUUUUCAAUUAAGUAAUACGUCUACUAACGAACUUGAAAACAAAACACAUCACACUAAAAAACACAAACAUCACUUUAACCCAACAGAAGCUGCUCUUUUUACCCUUGCACUCACUAUCACAUUACUAUCAUGUUUGUCAACUGUCAAACUAACUCUUUUAAGUUAUUUAGUGUGACUACAAAGUUAUGAACACCAUAAUCUUAAUUAAAACCUUUUAAUAAACAAAUGCCAAGUUACUACUCAACAAUGGCAAGGAAUUCAAAAAACAUGACUGUAACGACCCAACUUUUCUAGGUAAGUCGAAGUCAUUAAUUUCAAAUAAGGACCUGAGUUUACACAAAAUCUCAAUCUCAAACAAUUUCAAAGUCUCAAGAAAAACAAAAAUUUAUAUCUGGGCCCUGUUUAAAAUAACCAGCACCUUCAAGACAAAUUUACUAAUUCGUGAAUACAGUUCAACUAUAAAAUUUUCUAAACAAUCUCAAGUACUAAACAAAACACGUGAAACAAAACAUUUAGCGGAAGCAAUUUAAAAUAACCCCUAUGGCAAUCACGCUUCCUUUCUGCCCUCGUCGCCGGUUUGCCGUCUUUAUUACCUUUGCCUGAAAAUUAAACAUAAGGAGGGUGAGUAUAAAAAUACCCAGUACGAGACCCUCUACUGGUCCCGUCAGGGGAAAAUAAAUUGUUAACAUUCUAUUGGGACACCCUGUACAGUCACAGUCUUGUGAUCCCGUAGGAUGCACAUUUCAGUCUAACGCCCCGAGGGACGUACAUUUCAGUCUAGUGUUCUGCAGAAACACAUAUCAGUCUAAUGCUCUUGAAGGUGCAGAAUAAUUGGUGAUCCGUGUGACACCUACAAGGCACACAUCCCAAUAAAAGCUAACAAUUUUUCCCCUCAGUCCAUUCUAAACAUCUUAACAGUCAUUCACAGAUCAGUUAAACAUUCUCAUCACGUAAACUCUUUAUUUAACCUCAAACAGUCGUCUUACUCUAAUUUAGUCCAAGGUCAAUAAAAAAACAUAUCAUUACAUCAGUUAACAAGCUAAACAAUCAUAACCUCCUCCUCAGUCACCAAGGGCACCACCAUGACGUUUCUUCCGUUCACAAGCACACAACAUAACAGUAGAUUAUACACUCAGUCUAGACAACAAUCAAUCUACUAAUCAAAUCCACACUUUAUAUAAGCAACAUCUACGAGAUUCAGUCGUUUCCACAUCCUUAUCUUUGUACACAUACAUAACUAGACAGUCACAACAUAUACUCAACCACAGUCUACAUCAAUCCAUGCACAUAUAUGUAUUAAUUUCUCCCAGUCAAACAUAGCAAACAUUAAACUUUAAGUCAAUGCCCAAACAUACAUCAUAACAGUCAUCUCUACUCAGUUCAAAUAUACAACAUCAAUACAUCUUAAUUAGUCAUUAUAUCUUAAUUUUGUUGUUGAGUCUAGUAGAAAAUCCCUUACUUUCAAGUUAGUUAAGCUCCUUAACCACGUUGAAGUCUACGAAGAACGAACCUAAACAUUAAGACAAUUUCUCAAUAAUUCUCUUCAACGCAUCAAUCAUUUAAAUUCAACCCAAUGUGAUUUUUUUUUUACAACUUACCCAAAUCUUCACAAAACGAGUUCCAACUAGAAUCAAUUGUUUGCUGCGAACCCAAUGAAUUCGAGUGUUACCUUCAACCUAUAAUCGAACAGUAAACUAUUUAUCCAACCAAUUAAUCCAGCAAUAUUACUUGAGUUUAUUUUGGAAACAGUUACAAAUUUCAUAACUUCAAUCUUACCAAUCAAAAUUUAAUGACUCGUGGCAAAGCAGGAACGACAGCGAACAACCCAAUCGAAUGGCGUGGGUUUGCUACCUGCGGCAGGACGAAGAAGGAACUCGACGCGCAGAAAGUUGGAUCUGGGGUCUUUAGUUCGGUUCACGGUAGCGAAUUAAAACCUGAUUGCGCGGACGUCAAAGGUGUUAUUCGCGGAAGAAGUCGAGCAGCAGCUUUGCGAAGAGACGACGUGCGACGGAGAGACUGUAUACAGACGGACGGAGAGUCGCGCGGCAGUGCAGAAAACGGAGGAGAAAGGAAUGGGCGGCGGCUGGGCUUGGCUUCGACGGAGACAGAGGCGAUUAGGACGGGGCACGGCGACGCAGAUCUGGACGACGGCGCGGAGACAGAGGUUGCGCGGCGCUGGGCAGAGGGUCAAACGGCGCUGGGCGAAGGGUCACACGGCGCUGGGCGGAAGGUCACACGGCGGCCUUGCUUCGCGAACAGAGAUGGCGGCCGACGGUUGCAGCGGCGGCUGGGUAUGGUAGAAAAGAAAGAGAAACGGAAGAAGAAUAGGGGCGGCGACCGUGGAUCGGAGAAGAAAAGAAGGAUGAAAGCGAUGGUGGUCGGUUGGAGGGUGCGGCUGGAGGUAGGGAUCGGUGAAGGAGAAAAUAGAAAAAGAAAAUGAAGGGGAAAUGGGGGUUGCGCGCGGAGGAAGAAGAAAGGAAAAAAAAUUCUUUUUUUUUUUUCUUUUAUUUAAAUUAAAUAAUAAAACUAAAAUAUAAAUAAAUAUAUAUAUAAUUAUAUUAUCACAUUUUCAAAUCUUCUUUCUCCCCCUUCAUCAUAUUUUCUUCAAAAAAAUAAAUCUUGUACAAAUCGAAUAAUUUUCUUAAAAUAAAUUACCUUCGAGUUUGGGGCGUUACAAUGACAGCUAUAUUGUAACUUGGCACUUGGGGACUUUAAUGGUGUCAAUAUUGUAACUUCUGGUGCCAUGACAAAUAUUGGUGACUGUCAAGAUAAGUUCGCAUAGCCACCGAAAGAUACAUCGUUGCUUUUGAAGAAUGACAAGACUCUAAAUGAUAUAUGCAACAUUAUUUUGGUUAUAUCCAAUCUUUUCUUGAAGGCUAUGUACUUGAAGAUUUUAAUCAAUAAAUAAAAUGAAGUUUAAUUUUUAAAAUAAUAACAUUACAAUGGGAUGGCGAUUGGAAUUGAUUACUUUGGUUAAAAUUUAAGAUUAGAUUAAAAAAAUCAAUUAAUAGAUAAUUCCAUCCAAUCAAAAUAACUAAAUAAAAGACGAGAUUUGAAAAUAUAAUAUCCUAAUAUACACUAAUAGACUUAUAUUAAUAGAUAAUUUCCUGCCGAUGAAAAAUUACUAAAGUUGUACUAUAUUUUAUAAAUAUUUUAAAACAUUACAUAAACACUAAUUAAAGUUGGGUUUAGUAGCAAAAGGUUACAAAUUUAUUGACACCUUCUUUUAGGAAAAAAAAUACCUUGACAUGAUGUAAACUAAAUUUGUAAUCAGCAUUGAAAUCUUUACUAUAUUAAAUGGGCUCGUGGAGAAAAAAUUAUAUACAUCUAUUUUAUUCUUAAAUUGUCGAAAAAAAAUUAUAUUACCUUUUGUGAUCUAACGUAGUUGUGACUUUUAUAGUGUAAGUGUCCAUUUUAAUGUUUGGAAAGAUGAUUUUUCCAAUUUUUUAGUUUACAAAAUAAAGUUCUAUAUUUUAAAAAAUAAACCUUAUGUUGAAUAUGUGUAACUAAUGUUGAUAGGAUGUGAUUGGUUGAUCUUCAAGAUACGAUGCAUUCUGUUUAGAGUGGAGAUGGUUGCACACACAUCAAAUUGUGCGUUGAUUCCUCCAAAUUUACAUGUGAAAUGUAAAUGUAAAAGAAAAACAAAAAAAACUCUUGCAGUUACACAUUAAAAAAAAAAAACGUCACGAAAUUCCAAAGUUCAAAAGAAAACAAACAUACACAGGGAUUUAAUUGAUUCAAAGUAGUAACAAAUGGUGAAAAAAUGCAUAAUUUCUUGUGAUUUCACAUUAACAUGUUAGAAUAAAAAAUUAUCGUAUUCUAUAUAUUACAAUAUUGGAUCAAAUAUUAAUACAUUAAUUUAAUUAUUUAAUUACUACAUCAAUGAAUUUCUUUUUCUUUUUUAAAUAAUAAUUUUACCAUUAAUAUUAUAUAAUAUUUGUUUAUUAUAUGCUAAAGCAUAUUUAAAAAUUAAAUAGAAUUAAGAGAUUUCACAUGAAUUUACGCACAUGUUUCAACUGAAAAGAUGGAAACAAUAGUCACAAAUUAUUUUUUCCUAAAACAAAACAUUCAUAACCAAAUCUAAAUAUGCACUUUCAUAACUAAGGACCAAAACUCAUAUUACGUAGAAUUGAGCAUGGUUUAAAUGAAAUUAUUAACAAAAUACUUACACUUUACACCAGGUUUUUUGGCAACAUACCACUAGUAGAAAAGUGGUAUACGAUGACAGUUAUUUACUGUCGUAAACGAAAUUCGCGACAGUUAUUUUCAGUAAUAGAAGCGGGAGUCAUGGAAAGUCCUUCGAUGAUAGUUUUUAAAAACUGUCGCAAUAAGUUAUUUUAUGACAUGAAAUAAAUGUCGUUAAUCAGAAUUCAAUGACGUCAAAUAACUGUCAUAUUUUAUUUUAUGACAACAAAUAACUAUCAUCAUUUGUGGAUUAACGACGGUUAAAUAAAUGUCGCAAAUUCAUUUAUUGUGACAUUUUUUAAUUGUCAUGAAUAUGUUAAUCGCGACAGUUUUUUUAUAUAAAAAUGUCAUUGUUUUGCUAUUGACGACAUUUUUUUCCUGUCACAUCUAGGGCAAUCGUGACAAUUUAUUUUAUUAAACAACUAUCAUCGUUUUCGGAUUGACAACAAUUAAUAACUGUCACAAAUUCAUUUAUUACGUCAUUUAUUUUCUGUUGCAAAUUUCUCAAUUUACUACAGUUUUUUCCUGUUCUCCUUGUCGCUCCACCAUUACACAAACCAUUUGAAUGACAAUAAUGUAGCUGAGAAUGACAAUUUUGAAUUUAUAAUAUUGACACCCAUAUAGAAAAAAGUAGCCAACACUUUAAUAUAUAUACGAUAUAAUACAAUUUAUAAUAUUUGUACAUUUCCAAUCAAGUGUCAACAAUUUACAAGUACGGAAUCCCAACCCUUAAUCAAAAAAUAUUUUAAAUAGCAUUAGAAUACAUCUAACAAGAUUUUCUGCAGAAGCAUAAACGACCAACCGAGAAUGUUCGUCUCUGAAAAUGUUCUUGGAAAGUAAACUUAUGAAGUUGUUGACUCCAGUUGAACCUACAAAGACAACAUGAAUAUAAGCAUCCAUCAUAGGACAAGAGAGUACAACUCUUAUAGAAACUUUCAACAUUGAACAUUACCUAUCACUACAUGCGUCGAUAAGAGAAACAACUACAUAGCAGAGCACAAAUGUAGAAUAACAGCAUCACCGUAACAUCCACUUGGUCUACAAUAUUGAAACUUUUUACAAAUUACAACUCUUGUAUCAUUGCUCUUUAGAAAAUUUACCUGGAUAUAAAUAAGUAAUCUACAAGGAAAUUAUUGAAUAAGUAAUCAUAAGUAAUAAUCGAGAUGAAUGAAACUUAAGAAUCCAUUAGUAGUUCACUGUCAAUAAGGUUGGAAGAAACGUUAUCCGAUAAGAACCGAAAAGUUUCCAUCUUAAGGAGUCAAACACUUUCAUCAGAAAUAAGACAGUUUUCAUGUGUAAUCCACUUCAGUUAACGAAGCCAAGAAAUAUUAAGGUACUAGGAAAAUGAAACUAGAACAACUUGUAUCAUUUAUGGCUUAACAGAAAUUAAAGGUCUCCUAGUUUCUUAUCCAAAAAAAGCUCUACCAAUGAGUAUGACAUAAAAUCCAUGACAAUUUACAAAAGUAGCAAUUUAGCAAUAGCAAUAAGUACAGACAUAACACCCAUGACAAUUUACACAAGUAGCAAUAGCCAACCAGUACAAGCAUACUAUCCAUGAUAAAAAAGAAAGGUAUCUAUUACUCUUAAUCCUAUAAUAUGAACGACAUUAACUAAGAAGGGACCAUUGACAUGUACCUGAUGUUCUAAUUCCAUGGAGAUCGAAGUCCCGAAUGAGCUUCCACAAGUUAACAUCCUACAAUACAAUACAUUUUAGUUAAAUCAUAUAGCAACUCAUUAAACAUAUAGAGAAGGACUUCCAACUGACAUUUGGAAAAGAGUUGGGUUGAUCAAUUUUUGUGGCAUGGGGAGCAAUGUUAUCUUGAGCAAAUUGUUUAACACUUUCUUUGAACUGCAAUCAGUUAAUCAAGAAUUUUGAUAUAUUGACAUUAUAAAUGAAACUACAUACAAAUCAUUUUUGUAAUAAACUAAUUUGAACCAUUUACUAUCAUUUAAAUAAAGCGAGAGAGAAAAGAGGAAGCCUUAAAAGCAAGAUUCUUAAUAUAUCCUCAUAAAAAAAAAAAAAACUUGUUCAAGUGUCAAAGUCGACAAAAAAAAAAAAAACUGCAACUGACAAAAACGAAAGAACUAUGAUUAUUUGAUGAUGUUUGGUUCAAUAAGUAGGAAUGUAGCUUGGAACCUUUUCUCAUUUUCUCCAACUGCCAGAACAUUCAAGACAUUUUUUAAAGAUUCACAACACUCUAUCACUUCACAUUUCAUGUACUCAUCUGCACAAAUGUGCUUCCAUAGGUCAUAAUCUCUGGAUUAAAAUUCAACAGCCAUAUCCAAUGCUAUUGGAAUAUGUAGCAGUAUAAAAAUUGUUAACAGUUGCUAUAAGUAUGCCUAAAAAUUUCAACAGCCAUAUCCAAUGCUAUUGGAAUCUGUAGCAGUAGAAAAAUUGUUAACAGUUGCUAUAAGUAUGCCUAAAAAUUUCAACAGCCAUAUCCAAUGCUAUUGGAAUCUGUAGCAGUAGAAAAAUUGUUAACAGUUGCUAUAAGUAUGCCUAAAAAUUAAAAGAAAACAUAAAGGGACUAUAUUGACCUUGCUGGCUAGUAAAAAGGGAGGCAUUUGGAUUAUUUUUAGGCUGGGAUAUGAGGAAUAAGGAACUAGCAAGAGAUCCAUCUCUCUGUUUCAUUUGAAAAUUUAGUUUAGUUUUAAAAUUAUAAUUGAAAGGAUGCUUGGAAUGAAGAAUUCUAAUUUUUAGGCAAGAGUUCUAAUAAACUCUAUGGGUGUAUCUCCUAAUCCUCCGUUUCUAACUUUAUUGUCUUUCCCAAGAGAUUUGACAAGAUAAUUUUAUCUGAUAUUGAAGAAAUUUCACCAAUUGUGGGCUGCAAAUAGUUCAAAUAGAACUAGUAUUGGAAUAUAUAGAAUAUACAAAAUACCCUAGCCCAUACGAAACAAAAGAACUCCAAGACAUAGAAGAAGCAAAAGUCAUUAAAAGAAAUGGAUGAAGUGCAAACAUACACAAGACAACUAGCAGUAACUACCACAAUAUGCUUAUGAACCAACAACUGAAGUAACCUAACUAAUAACAAAGUCAACCUAUCACAAAAGCACAAGUUUUCAUUUUUCAACCAAUAGAGGCAUGCCUGCAAAUAACCAUCAUCUUUUGUAGACUUUAGAAAGAUGUCUGACAAAGCAGACAAUAACUUGGAGAACAGGACUUAAGUAUAGUCCGGAAAUAUGAGACUACAUUUUUCAACUAAAAGGCUAAUUCCUUAAACAUCAUGUAAAUCAAGUCCCUUUGAAUUGCAUAAACAUGGCACCAACUCCAUUGCUGAAUGAAUAAAGCAUAAACUACCUUAAUAAAGCAUAAAUUUACCCAAAUGCAAUAUUGUGAAUUAAUUGCAACAUCUUUAGUGAACAUAAAGGGGCUAUAUUGACCUUGGAAAGACAAUUUGAAUGAAUAAAUCAUAAACUACCUUAAUAAGUUUAUCAGAUGCAACGUAUCAUUUCGCUUCUUCAAGACUCAUCUCUGCAUUUAAGUUUAGAAUUAGAUGUUAGUGUGAGUAAUCAUACUUAGGAAAAGAGAAUAAAGCUUUUCAGCCUACUCGUGUCUUGACGUUCUAGAACUGAAUUCUACAUCUUGGAUACUGGAUUCACAAUAACACUAAAAUAUAUACAAUUGGAACUCAAUGUAGAAAUAACAUACAAGUCGAGGUGGAGAUAGCUUCAUGUUUUCAUCUUUGCAAGCAAAACGGAUAUUGGUAAGUUUUCUUUAGUUCUUACAAGAUUAACCUAGAAAAAAGAAAAUUGCUUAUCAUGUAAAUCAAGUAGAAAUUACAACUUCGAUCCAAAGUCUAAACAUAAAGUUCUCAACUUACAUCUAGAUUUGAUUCCCUAGAAUGUUCUCCAAUAAUCAUUCCAUCAUAAAUCUGGAACAUAAAUUAUCAGGAAAACUGAGCAGAACAUUUUCGAGGACCCAUAUAUUAUCUACAAUGAAAAGAUAAUGGAUCCUCAGUCUAAUGGAGACAACAAAAUAUACAUUUAGACCAACUCAUAGCAUAAAAGAUAAUAGGUCUAUGAAUCAAAUGAUUUUAGGGUAUCAAAAAUAGCUCCUAAACAAACGUAUAUAUAAUUGAACAUCCACGCUUCCUGCCUAUGAAAACAGGGAAACAAUUAAUUCACGAGAUUGAACAUUUUGAGAAACUUCUAUCCAAAAGGAGGAAAGAGGGGUGGAAAGUGUACACUAAAAAACCAUUAUGCACCAUAUAGAUGAAUUGACAUGACUUAGCUACAAAUACUUGUGCAAACUGCAAAAUGACAGCAACUAGCACAAUAAAAACAAAUCAAACAAUUUUCUAAAUGGUGAAUUGCCAAUUGCCAAACUAAACUUCAUUACAACAAGUCUAAUAUACUAAGUUAAAAAUAGGCUUCAGUGUGUGUAACAAUCAGAUCAUAGAACACACUCGCACAAUGCAAAAGAAAAAGAAAAAAACUUUUAAAGCUUCAGACACAUAUCGUCAAACACCUUACAAGCACAAACUAAUAUCAUAUUUUCUCAUAAUCUCACAAAAAAAAAAUCUUGUUUAAGUUUCAAGAUAGAAAUUGAUUGAUGAUGUUCUUUUUUAGAAGAUUUCAAGAAAUAAAUAAGAGAAUACUUCAACUUUUCUGCAUGAUUCCAAAAUCCUAUCAAUCAAGAAAUCUUGUUGUAAUCCCAACAAGGAAAACUUAUGUUCUUCCUCCGUCCACAGUACAACAAGAUAAAACCUAACGAAAAUCCUAAAUGUAUUAAGUGAAAAUCCCCACAAAUUAUCAGUCAUUUACACAACUACUCCAAAUCAUAUCUUAAAAUCACUAGGUAAGCACCAAUUCAAAGAAAAAUGGAGAAAAUCAAACCUUGCUAGCAUGUAGACGUUUUUGUUAAAUAUUGAAUCCUGAAAAACCAUUCUCAGCACACUAAGAAACAUUCAUAGAAACAUAAGAUGUGACAAUCAAGACCAAGGGCAGAGUUGGAGUUCAUAAAAAUUUAAUAGUUUUUUUUUUUUAGGAAUUUCAUCAAACACAUGGUGGGUAAAUUCAAAGUUGUUAAGGCCAUAAGAACAUCCCAAUAGCAAAUGCUCUUUUCCCUUAAGGGUACCAUCAAAACAGAGUCCAUAUUGUUUUAGAAGCAAAUUCAACUUACCUUCCCCCAUUUUCUCAUAAUCCCUCUUCGUGUACUUAGGAUAAUGAAGCGACAUUUGAACACCCACUUUCAAAAUUCAAACUUCCACCAUGAAAAAAAGAAAAAAAACUCACACCCUCCUUCUUCUUCUGACUUGGGUAAGAAGAAGAGGGGUAGUUGAAACUCAUGUAUAAAGACAUUGGAUUGUUGGAAUGUUUAUGAAAGGAAAAUACACAAUAUUCACAAAGAGAGAGACAAAGAGAGAAGGAAUGGCAGCGCCGGAGAGAGACGAAAACGAUGGACACAUCGGAGCGAAUAGAUGGCCACGCCAGAGUGAACAGACGGCCAGGAGUAGGGCGAAUGGUGACGAGGCCGGAAGAUGGUCGGAUUGGAGAUGGAAGACGAUCAGAUUGGAGAUGGAGAUUUCGCGGAAGAAUUGGGGAAAAUAAUAAGGGUUUACGAUUUGGGGAAAUAUUUUCUAAAUUUCUAAUCUUUAUUUAUUAUUUUUUUAAUAAAAAUAUAUUAUUUUAUGUUUUUUUCUAUGACAUCAAAUAACUGUCGCGGAAUGUAUUAUCCGAAAAAUUCCGUCUUUUCCCGCCAAAAACGCGAAAUUUUAACAUUUUGUGACAGUUCUUUUUUCUCUCUCUCAUUUUCUGAUAUACAUAACUGUCAUAGUAGACAGUUUUUCUUCUAGUGUACAUAGUGAGAAAAUUCAAAAUUUACCCUCUUACUUGUAUCUUUUCAAUAAAAAGUGCAUCUUAGUUGUAAUUAUGUCAAAAUAAAAAAUAAAAAAAUAACUCGUCAGUUAACGUGGUUAUCCAUUAACUGAUUUGGGUGAACUUUCUAAAGAUAAAAAUAACAAAAACAAACAAACAAAAGACUAGAACAUGUUAUUUAAUUAUGUAAUUACAACUUCCCUUUCUCCUCCGUGAGAAAAAAACCAUUUCUCUAAAUUUCAUCUAUAUAUAUGUGUAUUGAUCAAAUGACCCAUAUCAAUAAGGACACAAAAUUGGCAAAGAACAAAUAAAUUAAAAUGGCCAAUAACUCUUGUUUCAUUACUUUCUCUCUCAUUGGAGUUCUUUUGUUCACCAUCAUUUCAAAUGUGGCAUCAUCUAACGACGUUGUUUCUACCAUCUGUUCAGAAAUCUCAAAUCCACAAUUUUGUUUAAGUGUGUUGAAAUCUGCAGGCACUACAGAUCUAAAAGGCUUGGCUGUAUACACCUUAAACCUUGCUCAUUCAAAUGCUGGCAAAUCUUUGAUCCUAGCCAACUCACUAGCAAAAGCCACCACCAAUCCUCAACUUAAGCAACGAUAUUCAUUUUGUGCUGAGAGCUAUGAUGAAGUUGUUGGUGACAUUGAAAAUGCUCAAAACGACUUGGCACUUGGGGACUUUAUUGGUGUCAUUAUUGUAACUACUGGUGCCAUGACAACUCUUGGUGAUCACUGUCAGAAUAAGCUCUUGCAGCCGCCGAAGGAUACAUCGUUGCUUUUAAAGAAUAGCAACACUCUAGAUGAUAUAUUUAGCAUUAUUAUGGUUAUAUCCGAUCAUCUUUGAGGGUUAUGUACUUGAACAUUUUGAUCAAUAAAUAAACUGAAGUUUAAUUUUUAAAAUAAUAUUACAAUGUGAUGGUGAUUGGAAUUGAUUACUUACUUUGAUUAAACUUGAGAAGAUAAAGAAAAUCAAUUAAUAGAAACGUUCACCGACACACAUUGUCAGCACGUCGGAGAAAGCCUAAACUUUUUUUUCUUUUCUUUUACGUUCUGUUUUCUUUUCUUUGUUUGCCAUCAUCAUCAUCAUCUUCUUCUUCUUCUAGCUUCUUACGUUCUGUUUCAAUUGCAUACUUCUGUUAUUCUUGUAAUUUCUUCGUGGUUUUCUUUUUAACUUUGUGUUUCAGUGUGGAUUCAUAAACACAUUUUUCAGUGCUCUGGAUUCUGGAUCUGUUAUGAUUUGAAAGGGUACAGUGAAGUGAAAAGUUGAAAUGGAAAAGAAAAAAGAAGAAAAGAGGACACUUCUCGCGGUGGUGGCGGCAAAGACUGACGUCGACGACAACACAACUCUCCUCCUCUCCCUAUAUCUUGAUCGAUUUUGGGUUUAUUUUCGUUUUGCAUUCUGUUAUGUGUGGAAGGGAGAAUAAAUAGUGUGGACUUUCCCCGACGUCUUCGAAAACGUUGGGAAAUUUACCUUUCGCCGACGUAUGUAGUACACACGUCGGAGAAAGUUUAAAUAAUAAAUUCAUUAUUUAAACUUUUCCCGACGUACUCCUGUCAUACGAGUCUAAAUUAAAUUUAAUGCGUUCUCCUUCGGCGAUGUGUGUCAAGGUGACGUUGGAAAAAGUUUAAACACUAAUGCAAUUAUUUUAAAUCACAUAUGUUAUCGCUUAUAUGGCAUAGGAGUCUAUUAACGAUAGAAAUCUAUCUUGAUAGGUUUUGCUACAUUUACAAUGUUUAAAAAAUAUUCUUAUAUACUUAACUAUUAUUCCUAAAAUUGCUAACCCAUUAUACUUACCCUAAGUUAAAUGUAUAAUGUCAAAAGUAAGUUUACUACGAAGGUAAUCUAUGUGACCCUUUUAUCCUAACGUAGGAAGUUUGUUCCACUCCAUACCAUUAUUGAACUAAAAGGAUUAAGUGUGUAUUAAUAUGUUUAAACAAGUAUAAUUAUAGCAAAAUCUAUAAGUGAUAUAUUGAUAUUAGCAAUACAAUACGCGUCACAUAUGCAAACAUUUUGUGUCUAAUCGUUGUAUUUACAAUUAACUCCAUUAAAAUAUUACAAAUAGAAAUAGAACUCUUUAACCUAAGUUCAGUUAGGAUCACAAACUACGAAACGAAAGCAUGGAACAAAUUUAAUUUGUUUUUUUUUCUUUAAAGGAAAUUUUGUGCGUAGCACAUUAUAUUUUUUUCUUUCCUUUAAAAAACAUUAUUGAUCUUAUGAUAUUUGGCAGAGAUUGUAGUUUUUUAAGAAUGUAAAUAAUGUAAAUAAUGUGCCAAAUAAUUGAAAACAUGUUAUCCGAAACAGAGAAUGGUUAAGAAAUUGUUGACAUUUAGUCAAAUUAAUAAAUAAUUCAAAUUUAGGUUUGAUUUUUGAAUUUGAAACUAUAGUAAAUUAGAAAGUGUUUUGAAACAGUGUUUACGAAAAGAUUUUUAAUUUUAAACAGCAUUAUAGUGCGUAAACAUUUUUAAUUUUAAACAGCAUUAUAGUGCGUAAACAUUUUUAAUUUUAAACAGCAUUAUAGUAGCUAUAGAUACCAUAUAAUAGUCUACACAAUCUUUGUUCCAAAUGAUCAAUUCGAUUUUUUAAAUCAAGUCUAAUGUUUUUUUUUUUUUUUUUUGCCUAUUUCUUACCAUAAUUUACAUUUUUUGUAAGUAUAAUGGUUGAGUGCAAAAAGAGAGUUGACUAGUAAGUGCAAAAAGAGAGCUUACAAGCUUCUGCAAAAGCUAAUCAAGCAACCUAAAUCAUAAACGAGGAGAAAAGUUGAUUGAUUAAGCUUUGUUGUGGUAAAGAAGAAGUCAAAGUGAACAUCGAACGUUCUUCACUCUUAAAGAACAUCGCGAACAGAUAGAUUAUAUAUACUUUUCUGGAAUUGACCCAAAAAAUUCAGUCCCAAUGUAUUUUAUGGUGAGAUGCAUAGUUUAACUAAACCGUGUUAUUACAAAAUUUUCAAUUACUAGGAACUCUUAAUGAAACGAAUACAUUAUUUUUAUAAUUACGAGGUAAAAUGGAAAUAUACAAACUACUAAAAAAGCUGCAAAUCCAUUAUUGGGAUUCAAUCUACUCUCCAAGCAUGUUCUUGAAAUGAGAGUUUUUAAGCAGCUACAACUUGCUUAUGUAUAAAAGCAAAACCCUUUUCAACGCCUGCCUUCAGUUUUGGCUUUAGAGCUUCAAGUGCUUUUUGCCCCUACUCAGAUAAACCCUGAAGAUCAAAUGUUACAAAGGCUUCAAUUCCACAUGCAAAAAUCAUGUUCAUGAACCAAAAGCACCUUAAGCUUCUCUUCGAUAUCUUUGAGCUCACUGUAUAAAGAACUGAUUUCUAAAGCAAUCAUCUCUACUAUAUCCUCAUCGUUCCCACUCUCUUUUAAUAAGGCUGGCAUGAUAAUCACAACAAAGAAGAAAAAACUAAGAUAAAUUUAACAAAUUUUAUGUUGGGAAACUUUUUUAAGAACAACUACUUAUAAGCCAACCUUAGCUUUGGCCUCACAUUCCUUGAAGUUUCUAAAAGUAGAUACCACCUGUCCGGGCAACCCACACCAACCAACCAAGAGUAAGUUAGUGUGAAAGACACUUAUUUAAUGAAGAAUAUGUAAAAGAGGUCAUUCAAACUGUUACACAUAAUAGUAUUGGAGGCAAAUAACCUUGCCAUAACUCAUCAAGUUCUGAUAUUGAUUGGGCUAGUUUUUGAUACUCUGUGGGGUUUGAGACAAUAUCUGGAUUGGCCAGCUUAACCUAAAUAAUAAUAUCGAUAGUGAUUAUUGUGUAGGAAAAUAUUAAAGCUAUAACUAAAUGAAAAGCAUAAUUAGAAAUACAUCAAAGAUGUAAAUGCAAAUUUCAAAAGUGGAUCUACAGAAUGUAAGGGGAAGAAACUCAAAUACAAUUACUUUAUUAGUUAUACGACUACUAUAGAGAUUCUAGAUACACCACAGUUCCACGUCCUCUUUUAGGAGGAAAGCAAUGGUGAAAAAUUAAUUGUGAAAACUAAAGAAGGUCCUAUUUAAAUCCUAACUGCAAUAGGAAAGCAAGGAGUUAUAAGGUGAUCACUAUAGCCAAAUCCAAAAUGCAUUCAGUAUUUGUCUUCCAAUUUCAUUAUCAAGUGCAUAGAUAGCAAGGUCCCUAGUGAGGAAGUUAUUCGUUCUUUUCUUCAUUUUCUAUAGCUCUAGAAGUAGCUAAAUGGAAUCGUCAAUCACCUAAUCUAUUAAUUUUAAAACUCAAAAGUUCACCGCGGGAUUCUAGUCACUGCUGAAACAGCAUAGAGUUCACUAGUUCCACAGUUAAAUUAAUUGCAAAUUGCAUUUCCUGGCAUUUUCAAGAAACAAAAAUGGCACAAAUCAUAAUAUGAUGAAGCAGAAAAAUUCUGUGAGCUCGACUUUUCCAGGACAUAUCUUAGCUACUUCUCCUAUUCUAGCUCGAUAACCAUUGUACUUCAACAACCGAAACAUUAAUCCAAUAGUUAACAAUGUUCUGCACUUUAUGCCCUUACAUUUCCAACGACUUAAUGCAUACAUCAGUAGUUAACACAGACACGGGCUCUUAAAUUCAAUGCAAAAUAACAGUCCCAUUCCAAGCAUAAACACCAGAUACAAACAAUUGAUGGACUUGAAUCAGUAAAGAAAUAAGAAUGUUAUUUAACAGCAAAGCACAAAUUAUCGAUAAUUUUUUCCACGUCUUCUCAGCAGAUUCCAAUUUCACGAUCAAAUAAGGUUUCCUAAAAUAAAGCAAUCACCAUCAUCAUUUUCCACAAAUAUGAUUCGAACUAGUUUUACCACAAAUUAAUUUCUAAUAACUUGAAGAAAAACUCAGUGAACUCAAAGCAUAACGAAACUUAAGUUCUGUUAAAGCCAAUCGAAACAAUAAGAUAUAGACAUAUUGUGUUUCUCGAAAGAAAAACAUUUAAUAAAUCUAACAGCUAUGCAAAUUAGAGUUGAAGCUCUAACGGGAGGUGCAAAGCAUUUAAAGUUCCAGAGAGCAUCUUCUGAAGGCGAUGAGCCCAUAAGAUGAAAAAAGGGCCUCAAGUGAGGAAGAAAGACGCCAUCCAAACAUGAAAAAAGGAAGAAAGGCAAGAUUUUGGCAGUUCCAGGCCUGAGGGAAGCGAACAAGGUGGCGAGGGAGGCAAGGCCCCAAAAUUUAGCAUUGCCAACAAAGUGAAGGUGGAGAAGGAUCUUUCCUUUUAACGUGGCCCUCCGAGAGUUUAUGGACGCCCCCAAUUGGGGCGUUUGGAUGGAGUAAGUUCUUCAAGGGACUUCCUAGAUUCUGUGGAGGUUGUCAAGAAAUUCUACGCAUCAGAUUACAACCACUACAAGGAAUUCGGAUCAACAAACGCAAUUUAACACUAUUGGGAGAUAGAGUAUCUCCCGACACUAUCUCCCGACACAAUAAUAUGAGCAUCGUGAGAUAUAGUGUCUCUCGACACCUAACAUCUACGUCAGAUGUUAUUUACAAUCUCCCGAUGUUGUGUUGUGAGGCAUCAGGAGAUAGAGGCUAACUCUCGACGACAGUAGAAAAGAAAUGAGAGUUGUAGAGUAACUAUCAAAGCUGCUAAUAAAGGGAUGAUAGUUAGGGGAACUCCCGAUGCAUAUCGAGUUGGAUCGUGAGUUUGCAUUUAAAAUCCCCCCUCGAUUUAUAUUUCACAGAUCUGCCAAGAAGGGAAAAGUGAAAUCUGAAGAGAACUACGCCACUGUCGUCCUUGUUGUCUACCCUGGUGCCACUCCCGUCCUACAGUGUCGAUGCUCUACCUUUAAAUUUUGCCCUAAACUCUUUGUUCUCUAGAAUUCUUUAUGUCCUAAGAUCGGUUAUGUUCUUGUUUUUCAUGUGUGUCCUAAAAUCCUUUUGUGUCAUAAGCUAGAUUUAAAUUUUCGUCUAAAAUCCUUUGUUUUUCAUGUGUCCUAAGAGAUUCUCCUAUACUGGUCGUCGGCUCCUCUGCAUAGCCAUAUAGUCUUUUGGAUUUAUUUAGGCUUGGCCUUCUUUCACCUAGUAGGGUGGGUUUACUGUAAAAGCUUCUAAGGUCAGUUCUAGAGGGUUUUUUAGCAGUCUUGAAAUUCCCGAAGGCUAUAGAAAGCAUUUCUUGAAAUUUAAAACUGAAAUUUUGAGGUAAGCAAGUUAAGACAAUUUUAAGAAAAUUUGUAGAAAUAACUUUUCCAUUUUAAUGGCUGGAUUAAAGGUUAUAAGCAUUGAAAGUUGAAUGAAGUUUCUGGAAUUCUCACAGUUUCUGGGCAAGCUUAAGGUAGUCGAGCAUCACGCAGUGAAAGGGUUGGUUAAGAGUGCAUUGUUCAGGUAAGGGGAGGUUAUUUCAAUCAGAUUGAGGGUGCACGACACGGUCAAGGCACAGUCGAGCGACAUGGUUGCGCUCAAGUUGUGCACAUGGCCAUGAAUACCUUGUAAAGUGGAAGAACCUUCCUGUAGAAGAAACCAGAUGAGAACGUGUUAAAGAUCUUGAAGCCUAUAUGUAGAAGAUCGAAGAGCUCAAGUUUUGCCAGUGGACAGAAACACCAACUGUUUAAGUAGGGGAGAAUGUCACGAGCAUGCUUGUUUAGAGCGUUGUUUGCCUAUGGCCGCAUGCCUAAAUACCCCAAAAUCAUCUUGUCUUUAUGUCCUAUGCUUAGUUUAGUCUAUUGCUUUCCUUUUCAUGUCAUAGACCUAGGAUGUGACAUUGCACUCAUUUUCAUAUGCAAGCCAUUCAAAUCUAAAAAAGGCUAAAAUGUACUACAAGAGAGACCAAGUAGUUGAAUCCCAGACCAAGUCUUGUCAUACUCUUUGCAAUUGAGAGUCUUCAAUGCUUUCUCUAAUGACGUUUUCAAUGAUUUUCUUUCUCUCACGUUCUAUAAAACAAUUUUCUCAAGAACGUGAAGAGAGGUACAUUAUACCAUGAGUUUCUCUACAAUUUUUGUAUUUUACACGGCUGACUUGUUGACGAGCAGAACAAGUGCCGCACAAUCGUUUGUCCCAUGUUUGAAAGAUUGCGAUUAUGACAAGUGGUAUCAGAGCCUAAGUUGACUAAUUGACGGUUAAGACGUGAACAUGUCCACAACAAAACAGGUGCUCUACUUAAGUAAACAUGGCUUAUUGGCCCAUGCAGGUUGAUUGGUAGAGCUUGAAGAGCAGAUGCUCUACCUAGUGGAAGUUCCUGACUCCAUCCGUUUCUUUGGAAACCCGUCUUGAAGAAAUUUCUCAGAAAGUUGUUGCUAUUAAUGCGGAAACUGGUCGUCUUGACAAAAUACCCAUUCAAGAGUUGUUGACAAGAGUUGACACUCUAGAGACAAAAGUUGUAAGAACUGGAAACUACGAGCGUGGAGACAGUUCGAUGACCUUUGUUGCCCAUAUAGAAGAAUGCAUGGUUGUGCUGGAUAGCUUUCAGAAGAUGAUUAUGGAAAUUAUUGAAAAGAGAGACAACGAGUUCACACCAAUUUACGUGGAAACCCGAGUACCGGGAGAAAAACCACGAUUGUUUGUGUUGUUAUUAUUUUCUAAUGAAUAAAACAAUAGGUAUAGGGAAGAAUAAAUAGAGUACACAAUGGAAUAAAAAAGGAAAAGAUUUAGGAAAAUAAGGAAUACAUUCCCAUAAUCUUUCCAUAAUUAUUCUAGGAUUCUAACAAGGAAAAAGCCUAGAAAAAAAGGAAAGAAUUCCAACACUCCCCCUCAAGUUGGGACGUAAAUAUCAAUGAGGCCCAACUUGCUAACGCAAAAGUCGAAGUUUGGUCUGAGAAGCCCUUUGGUAAGAACAUCAGAAACCUGUUGACUUGAAGGGAUGUACGGAAUGCAUAUGCUCCCACUGUCAAGUUUUUCUUUGAUAAAAUGUCGAUCAAUCUCAACAUGUUUAGUUCUAUCAUGUUGAACAGGGUUGUUAGCAAUACUAAUAGCGGCUUUAUUAUCACAGAAAAGCUUCAAUGGUGUCUCACAUUCCUGAUGAAGAUCUGUCAAAACUUUCUGAAGCCAAAUUUCCUCACAUAUUCCUAAACUCAUAGCUCUGUAUUCAGCCUCAGCGCUGCUCCUGGCAACAACACUUUGCUUCUUACUCCUCCAAGUUACAAGAUUGCCCCAAACAAAGGUACAAUAACCAGAGGUAGAUUUUCUGUCAACAACAGAUCCUGCCCAAUCCGAGUCAGUGUAUGCCUCAAUGGUCUUUCUGUCUGUUUUUCUAAACAUCAGCCCUUUACCAGGUGUUGAUUUUAAGUAUCUCAAGAUUCUGUUGACAGCUUUCAUGUGUUCCUCAUUAGGGGUCUGCAUAAACUGGCUGACAACACUCACAGCAAAGGAAAUAUCAGGACGAGUAUGAGAUAAGUAAAUUAAUUUACCCACGAGGCGUUGAUACUGUUCUUUAUCAACUGGAACUUGAUCAUCAGAGUUUCCUAGUUUGCAGUUGAAUUCAAUAGGAGUGUCAGUGGGACGACAUCCUAACAUACCUGUCUCGGUUAACAAAUCAAGGAUGUAUUUUCUUUGAGAUACGGAGAUACCUUCUUUAGAUCUGGCCACCUCCAUUCCAAGGAAAUAUUUCAAAUUUCCCAAAUCCUUGAUUUCAAACUCAUCGCCCAUUCUCUGCUUUAGUUGACUGAUUUCUGCCUGAUCAUCUCCAGUCAAAACAAUGUCAUCCACAUAAACUAUUAGAACAACAAUCUUUCCUGUUUUGGAAACCUUUGUAAAUAAAGUAUGAUCAGAGUGUCCCUGCCUGUACCCUUGGGACUUGACAAAGGUAGUGAAUCUGUCAAACCAUGCUCUGGGAGACUGUUUCAGACCAUAUAUAGAUUUCUGGAGUUUACACACAUGCUGACCAAACUGGGCUUCAAAUCCAGGCGGAGGGCUCAUGUAGACUUCCUCUACGAGGUCUCCAUUCAAAAAGGCAUUCUUAACAUCCAGCUGAUAUAAAGGCCAAUCUUUGUUCACAGCAACAGAUAACAGAACUCUAAUAGUAUUCAACUUAGCAACUGGAGAAAAAGUUUCUGAAUAGUCAAUACCAUAGGUUUGAGUAAAUCCCUUCGCAACUAACCUUGCCUUGUGUCUGUCAAGAGUACCAUCAGCUUUGUAUUUGAGAGAGAACACCCAUUUGCAUCCCACAGUUUUGUGUCCCUUAGGUAGAGUACAAAUGUCCCAAGUACUAUUCUUUUCAAGAGCUUUCAUCUCUUCCAUGACAGCAUUCUUCCAUUCAGGAUACUUUAAAGCAGUGUAGAUAUCUUUUGGUAUUAUGGUAGAGUCAAGGCUUGCUGUAAAAGCUCUGAACUGAGGAGAGAGACUAUCGUAGGAAACAUAAUUGCAAAUGGGGUGUUUAGUACAAGACCUGGUGCCUUUUCUCAGAGCAAUGGGAAUGUCAAGAGAGGAAUCAUACUCAUCUGAUUUUCCUGUAUGACCCUGUUCCGCUUCAUUAUUACGGGUUUCUAUUCUGACCUCAAUCUCAUCACCACUGUCCUUUUCUUCCACGUUUUCAAGAACAGCAACAUUAGACCUGUCAUUCUCACUUAUCAUAUUCUUAGUACAGGGUUCAGUAGGGUUUUCCAUACCUUGAUCUCGAGGAGGUUCAGAGUCUUGGACUGGAGCCGGCGGCUGACUAGUAGGGGAACCGACUUCCUUUUUGUGAUUCCUCCUGUAGUACGUUUUCCAGGGGACUUGGUUUGUGGGUAGGACUAUGGAAUGAGGAAUGAUGUUAGACACACACUAGGAGUGGGUUCGAUGAAUUCAAAGGUGUUGUUAGACUCUUCACUCACACUCUCCCCCUGAAGAUGGCUAACGGGAAAGUAGGGUCGAUCCUCACAGAAAGUAACAUCCAUAGUGACAAAGUAUUUUCUGGAUGGUGGGUGAAAACAUUUAUAACCACGCUGGUGAGGGGGAUACCCAACAAACACACAUGCCUGAGCCCGAGGGGUAAAUUUGGUUUGAUUAGGGCCAAAAUUAUGGACAUAAGCGGUACACCCAAACACACGAAGAGGAACCUCAGAAACAUGACGAGUCGAUGGGUAGGACUCCUUAAGACAAUCUAAGGGAGUUUGAAGAUGAAGAAUACGAGAAGGCAUUCUAUUGAUUAAAUGAGCUGCUGUAAGAAUAGCAUCUCCCCACAAGUAUGAAGGAAGGGAAGUAGAAAGCAUAAGGGAACGGGCUACUUCCAGAAGGUGACGGUUUUUUCGCUCGGCCACUCCAUUUUGUUGAGGAGUGUAGGCGCACGAGUUUUGAUGAACA
This 81165-nucleotide long non-coding RNA is filed under the name Cucumis sativus (cucumber). Its description in RNAcentral is "long non-coding RNA (CSAT_LNC002350)". The record is from RNAcentral. Lineage: Eukaryota; Viridiplantae; Streptophyta; Magnoliopsida; Cucurbitales; Cucurbitaceae.